This 56445-nucleotide long non-coding RNA is filed under the name Triticum aestivum (bread wheat). RNAcentral describes it as "long non-coding RNA (TAES_LNC005059)". The stretch from base 40182 to 40268 matches the Rfam family "MIR1120/MIR1122 microRNA precursor family". Lineage: Eukaryota; Viridiplantae; Streptophyta; Magnoliopsida; Poales; Poaceae. The record is from RNAcentral.
UGUGCAGGUCUGAUGUUGCUGGCCUUGAGGAGUAUCAGAGAGACCACAUGAGGAUGCCAAGCUUGUAGGAGUGCGUGUAGUUGAUGUUGGAGUCAUGAAGGAAACACUGAAUCAAGGCGCUGUCGGUGCAGCUGAAAUUUAAGCUGUUUGUAUCUGUAUUCUGUAGCACAAUGUUCCAGCAUGGCAGUGAUGUUGCCUAGUUUAAUUCAGACGCCUAGCAUGGCAGUGAUGUUGCCUAGUUUAAUUCAGAUGCCUAGCAUGGCAGUGAUGUUGCCUAGUUUAAUUUAGAGGUGGAGCAUGAUAAGUCGAACUGUGAUGUUGCCUAGUUUACCUGUAGUUGUAACUGUAAUCUCGGAUGCUGUGGAUCUGCUGUUUUAGUUGCUUGCAGAAGACACUUUGAAUAUUAUUAUGAUCCCUGUACUCUUGUAGCAAUAAGGGGAUUGGGGAUUACCUUUCACGGUGGAGGGAUUUGACACUUUGACCCGUACGAUCUGGUCAUUGGGCGGUCAGGAUGCGUCUCCGCACUGCGCCAAGGCAGACAGAGGCGCUGCUAGUGCAGGUCCCGUCCAGCCCGCUGCCGGGUACCGAAGGCUCGAUCGCUCAUCCGAUGCGCUCUUCUGCUGCUCCUCGCCAUCAUCUAUUCCCUGCCUGCGUCGCUGCCCUCGCACGACCAUCUAUCUUUAUCUUCUCACCGGUGUGGAGGAGGCCAGCUGGUUUCGUCCAACACAUGUCUGUCUGACUGGCGAAUUCUUUCUUGGCGUACAAGGAGAUGAGUGCCGAACACAGCAGAAAAAACAACACCAAUUUGAACCCGUAAGAGAGUUGCCUAAUAUGAGCCCGUAUACGCCCGCGGACACGCCCGUUGGCAAUGCCCAUGUUUCGCUGUCUAUAACCAAAUCCAUACAAUGCAUGCAACCACAUAGAUCAAAUAUCUCACUAAUCUGAAAGAGGGAGACGCCAACACCUGUUAUUUCCACCUCCGUGUGAACAAUUCCAUCCAUCGCCUCAAGCACAACAAUGGUUGGGUCACGGAACACACGCAAAAGGAAGAAAUUAUCCAUCGGCACUUCAAGAGCAUCGCCACGAGAGGCCCUCCACGCAAUAUCGAUAUUAACUGGAACAUUUUACCGACCCUGACUGCGACCUUCGGAAUUUGGAUGAGAAUAUCACUGAAGAGGAUGUGAAGGAGGCUAUCUUUGCCAUGCCUGGGGACAAGGCCCCGGGUCCUGAUGGUUUCACCGGCGCCUUUUUCAAGUCGUGUUGGAGCACAAUAAAGGGGGACAUUAUGAUGUGUUGGAAAUAUACCCUAGAGGCAAUAAUAAAAGUAUUAUUAUUAUAUUUCUCUGUUCAUGAUAAUUGUCUUUAUUCAUGCUAUAACUGUAUUAUCCGGAAAUCGUAAUACAUGUGUGAAUAAUAGACACCAACAUGUCCCUAGUAAGCCUCUAGUUGACUAGCUCGUUGAUCAACAGAUAGUCAUGGUUUCCUGACUAUGGACAUUGGAUGUCAUUGAUAACGGGAUCACAUCAUUAGAAGAAUGAUGUGAUGGACAAGACCCAAUCCUAAACAUAGCACAAGAUCGUAUAGUUCGUUUGCUAGAGUUUUCCAAUGUCAAAUAUCUUUUCCUUUGACCAUGAGAUCGUGUAACUCCCGGAUACCGUAGGAGUGCUUUGGGUGUACCAAACGUCACAACGUAACUGGGUGACUAUAAAGGUGCACUACAGGUAUCUCCGAAAGUGUCUGUUGGGUUGACACUGAUCAAGACUGGGAUUUGUCACUCCGUGAGACGGAGAGGUAUCACUGGGCCCACUCGGUAAUGCAUCAUCAUAAUGAGCUCAAAGUAACCAAGUGUCUAGUCACUAGAUCAUGCAUUACGGUACGAGUAAAGUGACUUGCCGGUAACGAGAUUGAACGAGGUAUUGGGAUACCGACGAUCGAAUCUCGGGCAAGUAACAUACCGAUUGACAAAGGGAAUUGUAUACGGGGUUGCUUGAAUCGUCGACAUCGUGGUUCAUCCGAUGAGAUCAUCGUGGAGUAUGUGGGAGCCAACAUGGGUAUCCAGAUCCCGCUGUUUGUUAUUGACCGGAGAGUCGUCUCGGUCAUGUCUGCAUGUCUCCCAAACCCGUAGGAUCUACACACUUAAGGUUCGGUGACGCUAGGGUUGUAGGGAUAUGUAUAUGCAGUAACCCGAAUGUUGUUCAGAUUCCCGGAUGAGAUCCCGGACGUCACGAGGAGUUCCGGAAUGGUCCGGAGGUAAAGAUUUAUAUAUGGAAAGUCCUAUUUCGGCCAUCGGGACAAGUUUCGGGGUCAUCAAUAUUGUACCGGGACCACCGGAAGGGUCCCGGGGGUCCACCGGGUGGGGCCACCUGUCCCGGGGGGCCACAUGGGCUGUAGGGGGUGCGCCUUGGCCUACAUGGGCCAAGGGCAUCAGCCCCAAGAGGCCCAUGCACCUAGGGUUUCAAGGAGGAAGAGUCCUAGGAGGGGAAGGCACCUCCUAGGUGCCUUGGGGAGGAGGGAUUCCUCCCCCUUGGCCGCACCACCCUAGGAGAUUAGAUCUCCUAGGGCCCCCCCUUGGCCCUCCUAUAUAUAGUGGGGGGUAUGGGGGACUUCUUACCUUUGCCUUUGGUUGCCUCCCUCUCUCUCUCCAACACCUCCUCCUCCUCCAUAGUGCUUGGCGAAGCCCUGCCGGAGUACUGCAGCUCCAUCAACACCACGCCGUCGUGCUGCUGCUGGUGCCAUCUCCCUCAACCUCUCCUUCCCCCUUGCUGGAUCAAGAAGGAGGAGACGUGGCUGUUCCGUACGUGUGUUGAACGCGGAGGUGCCGUCCGUUCGGUGCUAGGAUCUCCGGUGAUUUGGAUCACGUCGUGUACGACUACCUCAUCCCCGUUCUUUGAACGCUUCCGCUCGCGAUCUACAAGGUACGUAGAUGCAUCUAAUCACUCGUUGCUUGAUGAACUCAUAGAUGGAUCUUGGUGAAACCGUAGGAAAAUUUUUGUUUUCUGCAACGUUCCCCAACAGUGGCAUCAUGAGCUAGAUCUAUGCGUAGUUCUCUUGCAUGAGUAGAACACAAUUUGUUGUGGGCGUUGAUGUUGUCAACUUUCUUGCCGCUACUAGUCUUAUCUUGCUUCAACGGUAUUGUGGGAUGAAGCGGCCCGGACCAACCUUACACGUACGCUUACGUGAGACCGGUUCCACCGACUAACAUGCACAAGUUGCAUAAGGUGGCUGGCGGGUGUCUGUCUCUCCUACUUUAGUUGGAGCGGAUUCGAUGAAAAGGGUCCUUAUGAAGGGUAAAUAGAAGUUGACAAAUCACGUUGUGGCUUUCACGUAGGUAAGAAAACGUUCUUGCUAGAACCCUACUUCAGCCACGUAAAACUUGCAACAACAAUUAGAGGACGUCUAACUUGUUUUUGCAGCAAGUGCUUUGUGAUAUGAUAUGGCCAAAGUUGUGAUGAAUGAUGAAUGAUCUAUAUGUGAUGUAUGAGAUGUUCAUGCUAUUGUAAUAGGAAUCACGACUUGCAUGUCGAUGAGUAUAACAACCGGCAGGAGCCAUAGGAGUUGUCUUUAUUUUUGUAUGACCUGCGUGUCAUUGAGAAACGCCAUGUAAAUUACUUUACUUUAUUGCUAAACGCGUUAGCCUUAGUAGUAGAAGUAAUAGUUGGCGAGCAACUUCAUGAAGACACAAUGAUGGAGAUCAUGGUGUCAUGCCGGUGACAAGAUGAUCAUGAAGCCCCAAGAUGGAGAUCAAAGGAGCUAUGUGAUAUUGGCCAUAUCAUGUCACUAUUAUUAUUUGAUUGCAUGUGAUGUUUAUCAUGUUUUGCAUCUUGUUUGCUUAGAACGACGGUAGUAAAUAAGAUGAUCCCUCAUAAUAAUUUCAAGAAGUGUUCUCCCCUAACUGUGCACAGUUGCUAAAAUUCGUCGUUUCGAAGCACCACGUGAUGAUCGGGUGUGAUAGAUCCUUACGUUCACAUACAAUGGGUGUAAGACAGUGUUACACAUGCAAAACACUUAGGGUUGACUUGACGAGCCUAGCAUGUGCAUAGACAUGGCCUCGAAACACAGAAGACCGAAAGGUCGAGCAUGAGUCGUAUAGAAGAUACGAUCAACAUGAAGAUGUUCACCGACGUUGACUAGUCCGUCUCACAUGAUGAUCGGACACGGCCUAGCUAACUCGGAUCAUGUUAUACUUAGAUGACUGGAGGGAUGUUAAGUGAGAGUUCAUUGAAUAAUUUGAUUAGAUGAACUUAAUUAUCAUGAACAUAGUCUAAAAUCUUUACAAUAUGUAUUGUAGAUCAAAUGGCCAACGUAGUCCUCAACUUCAACGUGUUCCUAGAGAAAACCAAGCUGAAAGACGAUGGCAGCAACUACACGGACUGGGUCCGGAACCUGAGGAUCAUCCUCAUAGCUGCCAAGAAAGAUUAUGUCCUACAAGCACCGCUAGGUGAUCCACCCGUCCCACAGAACCAAGACGUUAUGAACGCUUGGCAGACACGUGCUGAUGACUACUCCCUCGUUCAGUGCGGCAUGCUUUACAGCCUAGAGCCGGGGCUCCAAAAGCGUUUUGAGAGACAUGGAGCAUAUGAGAUGUUCGAAGAGCUGAAAAUGGUUUUUCAAGCUCAUGCCUGGAUCGAGAGAUAUGAAGUCUCCGACAAAUUCUUCAGCUGUAAGAUGGAGGAAAAUAGUUCUGUCAGUGAGCACAUACUCACUAUGUCUGGGUUACAUAACCGCUUGACUCAGCUGGGAGUUAAUCUUCCGGAUGAUGCGGUCAUUGACAGAAUCCUCCAGUCGCUUCCACCAAGCUACAAAAGCUUUGUGAUGAACUUCAAUAUGCAGGGGAUGGAGAAGACCAUUCCUGAAGUAUUUGCUAUGCUGAAAUCAGCAGAGGUAGAAGUCAAGAAGAAACAUCAAGUGUUGAUGGUGAAUAAAACCACUAAGUUCAAAAAAGGCAAGGGUAAAAAGAACUUCAAGAAGGACGGCAAGGGAGUUGCCGCGCCCGGCAAGCAAGCUGCCGGGAAGAAAUCAAAGAAUGGACCCAAGCCUGAGACGGAGUGCUUUUAUUGCAAAGGGAAGGGUCACUGGAAACGGAACUGCCCCAAAUACUUAGGGGACAAGAAGGCCGGCAACACCAAAGGUAUAUUUGAUAUACAUAUAAUUGAUGUGUACCUUACCAGUACUCGUAGUAACUCCUGGGUAUUUGAUACCGGUGCCGUUGCUCAUAUUUGUAACUCACAGCAGGAGCUGCGGAAUAAACGGAGACUGGCGAAGGACGAGGUGACGAUGCGCAUCGGGAAUGGUUCCAAGGUCGAUGUGAUCGCCGUCGGUAUGCUGCCUCUACAUUUACCUACGGGAUUAGUUUUGAACCUCAAUAAUUGUUAUUUAGUGCCAAGUUUGAGCAUGAACAUUGUAUCAGGAUCUCGUUUAAUUUGAGAUGGCUACUCAUUUAAAUCCGAGAAUAAUGGUUGUUCUAUUUAUAUGAGAGAUAUGUUUUAUGGUCAUGCUCCGAUGGUGAAUGGUUUAUUCUUUAUGAAUCUCGAGCGUAAUGCUGCACAUAUUCAUAGUGUGAGUACCAAAAGAUGUAAGAUUGAUAAUGAUAGUCCCACAUACUUGUGGCACUGCCGUCUUGAUCACAUAGGUGUCAAACGCAUGAAGAAGCUCCAUACUGAUGGACUUUUAGAGUCUCUUGAUUAUGAAUCAUUUGACACGUGCGAACCAUGCCUCAUGGGUAAAAUGACCAAGACUCCGUUCUCAGGAACAAUGGAGCGAGCAACCAACUUAUUGGAAAUCAUACAUACUGAUGUGUGCGGUCCAAUGAGUGUUGAGGCUCGCGGUGGCUAUUGUUAUGUUCUCACCCUCACUGAUGACAUGAGUAGAUAUAGGUAUGUCUACUUAAUGAAACACAAGUCCGAGACCUUUGAAAAGUUCAAGGAAUUUCAGAGUGAGGUUGAGAAUCAACGUGACAGGAAAAUCAAGUUCCUACGAUCAGAUCGUGGAGGAGAAUACUUGAGUCACGAGUUUGGCACACUUAAGAAAAUAUGGAAUAGUUUCACAACUCACGCUGCCUGGAACACCUCAGCGUAAUGGUGUGUCCGAAUGUCGUAAUCGCGAUCUAUGAUGUCUCUUGCCGAUUUACCGUUAUCUUUUUGGGGCUAUGCUUUAGAGACUGCCGCAUUCACUUUAAAUAGGGCUCUGUCGAAAUCCGUUGAGACGACACCGUUUGAAUUAUGGUUUGGGAAGAAACCUAAGCUGUCGUUUCUAAAAGUUUGGGGAUGCGAUGCUUAUGUCAGGAAACUUCAACCUGAAAAGCUCGAAUCCAAAUCGGAAAAAUGCGUCUUCAUAGGAUACCCUAAAGAAACUAUUGGGUAUAUCUUCUACCUAAGAUCCGAAGGCAAGAUAUUUGUUGCCAAAAAUGGGUCCUUUCUAGAGAAAGAGUUUCUCUCGAAGAAGUAAGUGGGAGGAAAGUAGAACUUGAUGAAGUAUUACCUCUUGAACCGGAAAAUGGCGCAACUCAAGAAAAUGUUUCUAAGGUGCCUGCACCGACUAGAGAGGAAGUUAAUGAUGAUGAUCAAGAUACUUUUGAUCAAGCUCCUGCUGAAAUUCGAAGGUCCACAAGGACACGUUCCGCACCAGAGUGGUACGGCAACCCUGUCUUGGAAAUCAUGUUGUUAGACAACGGUGAACCUUCGAACUAUGAAGAAGCGAUGGCGGGCCCGGAUUCCGACAAAUGGCUAGAAGCCAUGAAAUCCGAGAUAGGAUCCAUGUAUGAAAACGAAGUAUGGACUUUGACUGACUUGCCCGUUGAACGGCGAGCCAUAGAAAAUAAAUGGAUCUUUAAGAAGAAGACAGACGCGGAUGGUAAUGUGACCAUCUAUAAAGCUCGGCUUGUCGCUAAGGGUUAUCGACAAGUUUAAGGGGUUGACUACGAUGAGACUUUCUCACCGGUAGCGAAGCUAAAGUCUGUCCGAAUCAUGUUAGCAAUUGCCGCGUUCUACGAUUAUGAAAUAUGGCAAAUGGACGUCAAAACGGCAUUCCUUAAUGGUUUCCUUAAGAAAGAAUUGUAUAUGAUGCAACCGGAAGGUUUUGUCGAUCCUAAGAAUGCUGACAAGAUGUGCAAGCUCCAACGCUUGAUUUAUGGGCUGAUGCAAGCAUCUCGGAGUUGAAACAUUCGCUUUGAUGAGAUGAUCAAAGCGUUUGGGUUUACGCAGACUUAUGGAGAAGCCUGCGUUUACAAAAAAGUGAGUGGGAGCUCUGUAGCAUUUCUCAUAUUAUAUGUAGAUGACAUACUUUUGAUGGAAAAUGAUAUAGAACUUUUGGACAGCAUUAAGGCCUACUUGAAUAAGAGUUUUUCAAUGAAGGACCUUGGAGAAGCUGCUUAUAUAUUAGGCAUCAAGAUCUAUAGGGAUAGAUCGAGACGCCUCAUAGGUCUUUCACAAAGCACAUACCUUGAUAAGAUUUUGAAGAAGUUCAAAAUGGAUCAGUCCAAGAAAGGGUUCUUGCCUGUUUUGCAAGGUGUGAGAUUGAGCUCGGCUCAAUGCCCGACCACGGUAAAAGAUAAAGAAGAGAUGAGUGUCAUCCCCUAUGCUUCAGCCAUAUGAUCUAUUAUGUAUGCCAUGCUGUGUACCAGACCUGAUGUAAACCUUGCCGUAAGUUUGGUAGGAAGGUACCAAAGUAAUCCCGGCAAGGAACACUGAACAACGGUCAAGAAUAUCCUGAAGUACCUGAAAAGGACAAAGGACAUGUUUCUCGUUUAUGGAGGUGACGAAGAGCUCGUCGUAAAGGGUUACGUCGACGCUAGCUUUGACAUAGAUCUGGAUGACUCUAAGUCACAAACCGGAUACGUGUAUAUGUUGAAUGCUGGAGCAGUGAGCUGGUGCAGUUGCAAGCAGAGCGUCGUGGCGGGAUCUACAUGUGAAGCGGAGUACAUGACAGCCUCGAAGGCAGCACAUGAAGCAAUAUGGGUGAAGGAGUUCACUACCGACCUAGGAGUCAUACCUAAUGCGUCGGGGCCAAUCAAACUCUUCUGUGACAACACUGGAGCUAUUGCACUUGCCAAGGAGCCCAGGUUUCACAAAAAGACAAGGCACAUCAAGCGUCGCUUCAACUCCAUUCGUGAAAAUGUUCAAGAUGGAGACAUAGAGAUUUGUAAAGUACAUACGGACCUGAAUGUAGCAGAUCCGUUGACUAAACCUCUCACUAGGGCAAAACAUGAGCAACACCAGAAUUCCAUGGGCGUUCGAUUCAUAACAAUGUAACUAGAUUAUUGACUCUAGUGCAAGUGGGAGACUGUUGGAAAUAUGCCCUAGAGGCAAUAAUAAAAGUAUUAUUAUUAUAUUUCUCUGUUCAUGAUAAUUGUAUUUAUUCAUGCUAUAACUGUAUUAUCCGGAAAUCGUAAUACACGUGUGAAUAAUAGACACCAACAUGUCCCUAGUAAGCCUCUAGUUGACUAGCUCGUUGAUCAACAGAUAGUCAUGGUCUCCUGACUAUGGACAUUGGAUGUCAUUGAUAACGGGAUCACAUCAUUAGGAGAAUGAUGUGAUGGACAAGACCCAAUCCUAAACAUAUCACAAGAUCGUAUAGUUCGUUUGCUAGAGUUUUCCAAUGUCAAGUAUCUUUUCCUUUGACCAUGAGAUCGUGUAACUCCCGGAUAUCGUAGGAGUGCUUUGGGUGUACCAAACGUCACAACGUAACUGGGUGACUAUAAAAGUGCACUAUAGGUAUCUCUGAAAGUGUCUGUUGGGUUGACACGGAUCAAGACUGGGAUUUGUCACUCCGUGAGAUGGAGAGGUAUCACUGGGCCCACUCGGUAAUGCAUCAUCAUAAUGAGCUCAAAGUGACCAAGUGUCUAGUCACUAGAUCAUGCAUUACGGUACGAGUAAAGUGACUUGCCGGUAACGAGAUUGAACGAGGUAUUGGGAUACCGACGAUUGAAUCUCGGGCAAGUAACAUACCGAUUGACAAAGGAAAUUGUAUACGGGGUUGCUUGAAUCGUCGAUAUUGUGGUUCAUCCGAUGAGAUCAUCGUGGAGUAUGUGGGAGCCAACAUGGGUAUCCAGAUCCCGCUGUUGGUUAUUGACCGGAGAGUCAUCUCAGUCAUGUCUGCAUGUCUCCCGAACCCGUAGGGUCUACACACUUAAGGUUCGGUGACGCUAGGGUUGUAAGGAUAUGUAUAUGCAGUAACCCGAAUGUUGUUCGGAGUCCCAGAUGAGAUCCCGGACGUCACGAGGAGUUCCGGAAUGGUCCGGAGGUAAAGAUUUAUAUAUGGGAAGUCCUAUUUCGGCCAUAAGGACAAGUUUCGGGGUCAUCGGUAUUGUAUCGGGACCACCGGAAGGGUCCCAGAGAUCCACCGGGUGGGGCCACCUGUCUUGGGGGGCCACAUGGGCUGUAGGGGGUGCGCCUUGGCUUACAUGGGCCAAAGGCAUCAGCCCCAAGAGGCCCAUGCGCCUAGGGUUUCAAGGAGGAAGAGUCCUAGGAGGGAAAGGCACCUCCUAGGUGCCUUGGGGAGGAGGGAUUCCUCCCCCUUGGCCGCACCAUCCUAGGAGAUUAGAUCUCCUAGGGCCGCCCCCCCUUGGCCCUCCUAUAUAUAGUGGGGGAUAUGGGGGACUUCUUACCUUUGCCUUUGGUUGCCUCCCUCUCCCUCUCCAACACCUCCUCCUCCUCCAUAGUGCUUGGCGAAGCCUUGCCGGAGUACUGCAGCUCCAUCAACACCAUACCGUCGUGCUGCUGCUGGUGCCAUCUCCCUCAACCUCUCCUUCCCCCUUGCUGGAUCAAGAAGGAGGAGACGUGGCUGUUUCGUACGUGUGUUGAACGCGGAGGUGCCGUCCGUUCGGUGCUAGGAUCUCCGGUGAUUUGGAUCACGUCGUGUACGACUACCUCAUCCCCGUUCUUUGAACGCUUCCCCUCAUGAUCUACAAGGUACGUAGAUGCAUCUAAUCACUCGUUGCUUGAUGAACUCAUAGAUGGAUCUUGGUGAAACCGUAGGAAAUUUUUUGUUUUCUGCAACGUUCCCCAACAUGAUGGCCAUUAGACACUUCUCUGGUCUUCAUGCCUCCCACUUUCACUGGUUAAACUCUGCGGAUGUCGCCCUCAUCCCAAAGAAAGGUGGUGCUGAGGAUAUUUCAGACUUUUGCCCCAUUAGCCUUAUACAUGCCAUUGCGAAGAUUAUAGCUAAAGUCAUGUCCAACCGAUUAGCCCCCACAUGAAUGAUCUUGUUUCUCAAGCCCAAAGUGCCUUCAUCAAAAGGAGAUGCAUUCAUGAAAACUUCAUGUAUCUGGCAAGACGUUUCCACCGCAACAGAAUGCCCGCUCUGCUAUUCAAGCUUGACAUUAAAAAGGCCUUCAACUCAGUUAGAUGCGAUUACCUCCUUGAGCUGCUAAGCCACCUGGGAUUCCCUCCACGUUUGGGGUUGGGUCUCGACCCUUUUGUUCUCUGCGUCGUCGCGGGUUCUGCUCAACGGUGUUCCUGGCUGCCACAUCCCGCUUGGCCAGGGGCUGAGACAGGGAGAUCCAAUGUUCCCUCUUCUCUUUGUGCUUGCCAUCGACCCUCUUCACCAUAUACUUCGAAAGGCCACUGAUCAAGGCAACCUACACCCGCUUGGCGGUAAUGCCAUGGUGAUCCAUGCCUCGCUUUAUGCGGAUGAUGCUGCUGUGUUCCUUGCGCCUAUUAAAGUUGAUGUCAAUUUUUUCACGGACUCCCUUGCGUGGUUUGGGGAGGUCACUGGUUUGAUCACGAACUGCUCUAAAAGUUUGGCUGCUCCAAUUCGGUGUGGAAACUUAGACCUUGAUGAUAUGUUGCAUUCCUUUUCGGCUAGCCGCUCAUCAUUCCCCAUGAAAUACCUCGGUUUGCCUCUAUCGGUUAAAGGCAUGAAGCGCAUCAUCCACUUCCAGCCGCUCGAAGAUAAGAUCGCUACCCAGCUCACCCCUUGGCUUGGCAAACUAAUGACUGCUCCGGGCAGAGCGGUACUGGUCAAGUCGGUCAUCACGGCCAUUGCCAUUUAUUACAUGACAGCGCUAAAUCUUCCAGUUCAGGUCAUGAAAAAGAUUGAUUCCCUUCGACGAGCUUUCCUAUGGGCUGGGUGUGAUAAGGUCACUGGUGGCAAUUGCAAGAUCAAUUGGGAGGAGGUGUGCAAGUCCAAGGCUCAUGGUGGCCUAGGUAUUUUGAAUCUGGACAAAUUUGCUACAGCUCUUAGAAUCCGCUGGCUUUGGGCAGAGUGGGUGGAUCCGGUUAAGCCUUGGGUUCAUCUGGGAAACCCCUUUGAUGAAAAUGAUAAAGAUAUCUUCGCGGCCGCCACCAAGGUGUUCGUUGGGGAUGGCAUUCGUGCCUCCUUCUGGGAAUCUGCAUGGCUAGAUGGGAUCAGGCCCAAAGACAUAGCACCACAUAUUUUUGAGAUAUCCAAGAAAAGGGGUUGUUCGGUCCACAAAGCUUUGCAGGACAACUUUUGGAUCUCCAAAGUGAAUACCGUUGAAAUCACCAAGGUCAGUCAUCUUACUGAGUUCGUCAACCUUUGGGGAAAGAUUUCACAUGUUCAUCUCCGCUCGGACGUGCCAGAUUCUAUUUCCUGGAAGCUCUCUAAGGAUGGUCUUUAUUUGGCGGAGACGGCCUACAAAUCUCAAUUCCUUGGUUUAAUUGACACAGCAAUGCCCUUGAUGGUGUGGAAGAAUUGGGCUCCCCCAAAGUGCAAGUUCUUCGCCUGGCUUGUUAUCAAUAAUAGGAUUUGGACGGCAGACAUGCUACAUCGUCGGCGAUGGCCAAACUGUCACCUUUGCCCCCUAUGUAAGCAAGUUCAAGAGUCGGCGGCACACCUCCUAUUCCAAUGCCGCUACACCAUCAGAGUUUGGGUGAUGAUUAAAACUUGGCUUGGCCUUGUUGAUGUGCAUCCUACAGAUUGGGUGGCUGUAGGUUCCGUCAAGGAUUGGUGGCAACUCAAUGCCUGUAACAUCUCGCAAUCUCGAAGGGUGCUCAUCUCUUUAAUGAUGCUUAUCUCGUGGGAAAUUUGGAAGGAGAGAAUGCUCGUGUUUUCCGCAACACCCCGGUGCCGGUGGGGGUGAUUGUUGCUAAAAUCAAAGAGGAGGCUUCCAUGUGGUGCCUGGCAGGGGCAAAUUUUUUGAGUAAUGUAAUUCCGUGAGAGUAAUGCUUAGUAAUUCGGCCUCCAGCCUUUGGCCAAAACCUCUAUUUUCUUCUUGUUAAUCAAUGAAAAAUGGCAAAUAUGUUGCCUUGUUUCAAAAAAAUAAUAUCCAACGAUAAAUUUAGGGUAUAGUUAAUCAGUCAGGCUAAAUCCAAACUAAAAGACAUUGUUCACCGAAUUAUACUGCAAACAAAGUAAACAUAAAACGGUGCAGAGAGGGCAAGAUCACCACUUCUUGGGGCCCUUGCCCUUGCGGUCACCUCUGAGGUGGUCCGUCUUCUCCAUGUACGCGUCCGCGGCGGGAGGAUCGCCGUUCAAGCUGGUGGUGUCACUCUCCGAUGCAGAGGAGAUGUAGCCUGACAGUCGGCGGAUGGCGCGGCUCUGCUCCCGAGCGUGGCGUGCCGACUUCGCCUUGGCACUCUCCUUCUCCCUCGUGAGGCGCUCCAAAGCCUCGAGCCCGAGACAGAGCGCCUUUGCAUUCUUGCACUAGAGGCGCCUCGCGUCGGUCUCCGCCGUGGUAAGCGAGUGCCACAUCACCACGGAGGAGCGCCUCCUUCGGAUCCACGGGCAUAGAGUGUGCGUGCUGCCAGGGCAGUGCCGCAGCCGGAGGGAAAGGGGAGGGGAGCGCCCUGCUCCGGAUCUAGAGCAGGGCAGAGCGAGACGUGCAAGCGCGGGCUGCAUUGCUGCACGGCGCGAUCCGGUGGAGGUGACGGCAAACGCCACUGAGCUCGAGCUUUCGUCGGUGUCCGGCCGCAACCGCUCGAUGGAGAUGCAGAGCGCGAGUUGCUCAUCGUUAGGCGCAUCGUUGCCCGAGUCCUCCUCCUUCACGAGGCCGUCCCAGUCCAUGGGAUUGGUCUUGUUGUCGGACUCAUCGCUGGACUUGGCCAUGGCGGAGGACGCCGAGAUAUUCGGGUGAGUAAUGGAGAAGACGAGAGGGGAGCGAAGAGGGCGAGUGGACUGAGAUCGACUAGAGUUCGACCGAGAGAGUGGGGGUUUUGUGGGGACUGUGGUGGGGCGACACGGUCCAUAGUGAGUCAGGCCUAUGUGGCGGGCCUUCCCAUAUCCGUCCCAGACAUUGUCCGGAUAUGGAGAGUGCCGGUGAGGCUGGGCAUUUAGGCCGAAUAUGGGUAGCCCGGUUGGGCAGGGGCGGAUCCACCAUGGGGCAUGGGUGUACAGAUGUACACCCAAAUUUUUGUGAUGAAAAUUCGUAUAUAGGAAUAUACAUAUUAUUCUAUAUGGCAGUAUAGGCCCAAAUAUGCUCAGGUCAGUCUUCAAGCGCAGCCCACUAGCCCGGUAGCAAACCAGCCACUUCUGUCCACGCACGCACGAGACGAUAGAAACUCACGCAGCCGCCAGCCUGUUUCCUCGUCCCACUGAGCGCAGGUCCUGGGUUCUAACCCUAGCAGGCUAGCAUGCUUCUUCUUUCCACGGGCCAGGCGGCGGCGCGAACCUCUGCCAAUGGUGAGCCACGGCCAGGCGAGGGAGCCACCCAUGGUUUGCGCGGGGAUGCGUGCAGUAUCGGGCAGUGCCCGCCGCCGCCGGUGGUGGGGAGGGGGGAGACGUGGAUGGGAUGCAUCGCGGCGACGGCCCCCGCGAUGGUCAACGACGAGGAGUGGAGCAUACCAGUGUAGAAAUGGGCUCCAACAAUCCCAAUCUGUAAGCCUAAGGUGAUCCAAUCCUUAAAUUGCAAUCGUUGAUUUGUUAAUACGAUUCAUUGUGAAAUCCCCAAUUGAAUGUGAAGCCGCUAUUCGGAUUCAGAGAGAAAUAGCUGUAGAUGACAUUGAGGAGUAAGAUUUUGUACCCGGUUUUGUCGUGAAAAUGAAAUUGGCUUCUGUAUUGGGUUGCAAAAAAAAUAAAAUUGAACACCCAAUAUUGAAUUCCUGGAUCCGCCACUGUGGUUGGGUGUCUCUUUUUGAUCCGGACAGUGACCGAGCAGCUCGUCCGGGCCCUCGUUUAGGGCAGACAUGGGUCCGGUUGUAACAGUUUCAAUUUUCAAGUUUGUGCACCAAGAUGGACCCACAACACAAGUUUAAGUAGUGGCGUUUGGUGCGCUAAUUUGCAAAGAGUUCACAUGUGGUAUUUGGUUAGCCCAAUUUGCAGAUAGCUCACAUGCAUGUUUGGUGCGCUGCCUGUUGCUAAUAUUUGUGAUAGCUGCAGCGUGUUGGACUCUUGUUUCGCUAUGUACAUGUGAUCUUAUAUGAACGAGUACCCGACAUCCAUGAGACGGAGUGCAGUGUAGCCCUCUCCCGCACCAUAUUAUUAUGAUCCCUGUGCGUCGAACUAGUAGUAAUUUUGUAGCAACAAGAGGAUUGGGGAUUUACCUUUGACGGGGGAAGGAUUUGACACUUUGAGCCCAGACCCUGCUAGCUAGGAUCUGAUCAUUGGGCGCUCAGGAUGCAUUGGCCAUCCCACUGCUGGCUGCGCGUCUCCGCACUUGUGAGUUGUGACGGCCUGCGCCGGCCUCUGUCUGCCUUGCCACAGUGCAGCCGGCCUGCCGCUCCUCGCCUCGCUCGCUCGCCGAAUCAAUCAGCUGCAUCAAGGACGAAGCAAAACAUGAGCACAAGGGAAGGGACGAUGUGCAGAAAUGAAGCAAAAUAUAUGCCGACUCACCCAAAUGACAAGGCAAGUCGGCCGGUGGUAGGAGAGCCGGCCGCCCGCCGCCAUGGAGACAUGCAUCUAGUGCAGUCUGGACUGAGACUGCACUAGAUGCAGCCUGGCGGACGUGCGCCGCCUAGUGCAGCUCGAGCUGCCGGGCACCGCAGGUUCAUCCGAUGCGAUGCGCUCUUGUGCCGGCCGCCGGCCGCGCUGCGCUCACGAUCAUUGAUUCCCCGCGUGCGUCGCUGCCCUCGCUCGCACGACCAUCUAUCUUCCUUCCCACCGGUGGUGUGGUGUCGAGGAGGCCAGCUGCCGCGUAGGGCGAGAGCAGCGUGUUGCGCAGCGCACGGCACGUGUCCCCACGUGGCAUUUCGUCCAACACCUGUCUGUGUAUGUCUGGCGAAUUCUUGGCGUACAAGGAGAUGUGUGCCAACACACCGAUAGGAUUUCACAAAAGAAGAAGCACACAGCUAGCGGCACUUGUCACCUCCAGGUGUGAUCGAUUUUGUACCAAUUUGAACCCCGACUAGCAGGUGGUUGCAAUUUUCGAGUUUGUGCACCAACAUGGACCCACAACACAAGUUUAAGUACCCUAACGUAAUUGACUAGAUGGUCACAAUUUACGAAGAUGCUUAAAGAUUCCGGAAAACACUUUUUUUUGGAAAUUCUGAUUAUUUUCACAAGUUCAUAUAGAUGCUACUAGGUAGCUUAGGACGGAGAUUUGGUGAACAUGGUUCCAUGCGCACCCUUUACGAAUAGUAAAUCCAAAAAAAUAGUAGAAAAAUAAAAAAAUCUGAAACUUUUUUUAAUGUACAUAGUUAACCGGUAUACUUGGCGUACGAAGUUUCAUGAAGAAAUCACACUCGUGGUAAUCUGGGCAAAAAUGACAAAAUCAAAGCUAUACUAAAAAACAGAGAUGAUUACAUGAUAGUACCACACUUGGGGCGGUGGUGGCGAAUUGGUACCAUUUUUGGAAAUUUUUACGUGUCAGUACCACGUUUGGGUCGAACCGUUGCAAAUCAAGCUAAUCUUCGUAUUUCUACGUAUUGACGCUGGAACUGACCACCCGGGCCCGCGCGUCAGCUGCCGCGCUGGCGAAUCGGCACCCGCCCGCUCGCUUGAUACGUGCGGUCCGGCUUGAACCGGACCGGCCUGUGCUCUGUCUCUCCCUCUCCUUUCUUCUCUUCCUCUGUUCGUCGACGAACCCUAGCUCACUCGCACGUCUCUACGGCGAUGGCGACAGCGACCUCGGGCGGUGGUGGCGGCGCCGGCAGCGACGGCGCAAACAUUCCCCUCUUCGGCAGUGGCGCGGCAGGAGGAAUCGAGGGGAGAUCUCCAAUCGAGGGCGGCGAUGGCUACUCGAGCUCUGAGUAUUCCAGCGACGACGACGAGUUCAUGGAGCCCACACUGUCCAUGGAGCAGCGGGUACGGCUGGCACAACAAUGGGUGGAGAACCCUAGCAAUAGCCACGGGCUGACCCACGGGCUCGGCGUCCUGUAAGUUUCUGUUUCUGUCUUUUUUUCUUCUUCUCAUUUAUUUUUGCUAAUUAGGGUUAUAGUGUACUGAUUAGGCAAAUUGCAUGUGAAUUGUAGUUUACAUGAAGACAUAUGGAAUGUUAGGAUCCAUUUUGACAAUAAUGAUCUGUUAGAGAGGAAGUUAAGUUGUUCAGAUGUGACAUAUUUGAAUAUGGUUGCAUUGAUGGAAACACAAGGCUUUAGUAUUGAUAAUUCACUGCUGUUUUACAUGGAGACCCCAGGAGAGCAGGGUUUGGAAUUGGUUGAUAGUAAUGUUAAAUUACAGUUGAUCAAGAGGCAGAAUGAGGAGAGUUUGGUGCUUAAUUUGCUAUUUAGGGCUUGUCCACCAGCUGUCAGUUUAGCACAAAAGGGUUUUGUAGAGAAGCAAAAAAGAUGCAAUUGUUUAUUCUGAGCCUGUGGUUUAUGAUCUGGCUGAUCCUCUUGUGUAUGCUGUUGAUCAGCAAGGUGUAGCUUAUGAAGGUCAGAGUAGUUGCUCUAUUGCAGCUGUAGGCCCUGCUGUUUUAACACAAGAGAGCAGGAGUGUUCUAAAUCCAAAGUUAAAAGAAGUUGUGGAAGAAGAACAAGAUGGCUAUGAUGGCAGUUAUGCAUCUUCAUCUGAAGGGCAAUAUGACAGUGACACUAACCCUUAUUAUAUUGGGGAUUUAAGGCCCAACUAUAAUGAGGAAAUGAAUGAUAAGCAAUAUGAGCCACUAUUCAAGUAUCACAGGAACUCAGAUAAGCGGAUCAUUGUGCAUUUCAAGAAUUCACAAUGCAAGUUCUGCAUUGUGGCGGCUGUUAUAAAAGGGGAAACUACUUUUGCAAUUAAGAAAAUGAGAUUACAACACACUUGCCCUAGUUCUACUGAAACAACCAGGGUAAGUGCCAAGUGGCUUGCAAAGCAAUAUGAGCCACUAUUCAGAUCUGAUGUCACUACUAGCAUACAUACACUUAUUGAUGCCUGCAUGAAAAGUAUGGUGUGGAUGUGCCCAAGGCUAUGGCAUAUAAGGCAAAAAACCUAGCUGUUGAGGCUAUGUUGGGAGAUCAUAAGAAGCAAUACCCAAGGCUGAGAGACUAUGCUCGGACUGUCAUGGAUACAAACCCUGGGAGUAGAGUUGUAGUCAGCACUGUAACUCAAAGAGCCACUGAAAAAAUCCCACAUCCAGGACCCAGAUUCCAUGCCAUAUUUUACUGCAUCAAUGGAGCAAGGGAGGGAUUUCUACAGGGGUGUAGACCAUUCAUUGGUUAGUUUAUUUUAACUUGUACACUACUUUGAUGUUGUUAGUUUCAAUAGCUUGCACAUAUAAAUGCAUUUAACAUGUUAUGUUUACUUCCUGUUUUAGGUAUUGAUGGAUGUUUUAUCAAGCUAACCACUGGUGCACAAAUCCUUGCUGCCACUGGUAGAGAUGGCAAUAACAACAUAUACCCACUGGCAUUUGGCAUUGUUGGACAAGAGGACAAAGCAAACUGGUGCUGGUUUCUACACCAACUGAAAAUUUGUCUUGGAGGAGAAGUUGGACAGUAUGGUCCAUAUACUAUAAUGUCUGACAGACAGAAGGUAUGUCUAUCCACCUUGCAUUUCCUGCUAAAUAUGUGUUUACAUGUGUAUUAGACAGUAGCUUAGCUGUAUAAAUUGUGUGCACCAGGGGCUACUGUUUGCAGUUGAUAGAGUUUUUCCUAACAGUCAUCAAAGAUUCUGCUUAAGACACAUAUAUGCAAACUUCCAAAAUGCUGGCUUUAGGGGGGAAGACCUUAAGAAGUGCAUGGAUAAUGUCAGUUAUGCAUAUAAUGAACACAAAUUUAAUAUAGCAAUGGAUGAUCUCAAAGCUGAGAGCGAGGAAGCUUGGCAGUGGCUUAGUGCAAUACCCAAGAAAACCCGGGCUAGGCAUGCAUUUGACACAAAUUGGAAGACUGACUUGGUUGUCAACAAUUUGUCGGAGGUGUUUAACAAGUACAUCCUAGAUCAUAGGAAAAAACCAAUAAGAACUAUGUGUGAUGGCAUAAAGGAUAAGUAGAUGGUUAGGUGGCACAGAAAUAGAGAGAGUGGAAAGGAAGCUAGAUGGGAGAUCACACCACAUUACAGUGAGAAGUUGGAGAUUGAGAAGGAAAGGGCCAGGUACUGCAAACCCAUUCAAGCAGGUGUUAACUUGUGGCAAGUAACUAGUGGGGAGCAAACACAUGCUGUCAAUUUGGAACUUGAAACCUAUGGUUGCAGAAAGUGGGACCUCAGUGGAGUCCCAUGUAACCAUGCCAUCUCAUCGAUUAACAAGGCAAAAAGGUUUCCAAAGGACUUUGUAAGCAAACUUUCCAAGAAACCAUAUUACUUGGCAGCAUAUGAACUAAUGAUAUAUCCUGUCCCUGGUGAGCAUGACUGGACAAAGACCCCAGGUCCAUACAUAGAACCUCCAGCAUUUAAAGUCAAGAAAGGAAGAAAGAAAGGGAAGAGGAUAAAGGGAAAAUUUGAAGUUCCAAAGCCAAAGUCCACCUCAAGAAUGGGGACAAUAACUUGUAGGAAUUGUGGAUUACAAGGGCAUAAAUACACAAGCUGCCUUAAACAGUUGAAACCCGAGUUGGCCUUAAGAAAGAACAAACAUAUGGUAAGCCCUUUGAACUAGUUCUUCACUUUGAUGUUUCUGUACAUUACCUUUGUCCCUUGUACAUUUCUUACUUGUAGUAUUAUUAAGUGUGUUUCCUUUGAAUUGUUUUCCAAGCCUGCUGCAAGGAAUUCACAAGGAAGAGGUGUUGCUCCUACAGCUCCUGCAGCAACACCUAGAGCUGCUUCAGCAACACCUAGAACUGCUUCAGCAACACCUAGAGCUUCUGCACCAACAACUAGAGCUCCUGCACCAACACCAACAGCUGGAAGAACUGGAAGUGCUGCUGGUAGAGGUGGUAGAAGUGGUGCUGGCAGAGGUGCUGGAAGAAGGGCUAGUGGUGGAAGAGGAUCUGGAAGAGCAUCUUCUAGUGCUCAAUCUUCUGCUGGGAGAGGUGCUCAUUCUUCAAGGCCUUUCUCUGCCCCAAGGCAGUAUGGUGCCUCAACUUCUAGUGCUCCUCCUCCACCAACUGAUGGCACACACACUGGAUGGAUGGCCUGGUUCAAUGCUAGUAGAGGUGGCAGAAGGUGAUGCAAACUUCUUCUGAUGCUACAAUGUGCACCUACUACAAUGUGGAAUGUUAUAUUUUGGUUUGAUGUCACUCCAGUAACUACUGCUGAUGCUUUAUUUUGGUUUGAUGCCACUACAGCAACUUGUGCUGAUGAUACAUUGUGCUUUAUUUUGCUUUGAUGAUAGAUCAGCAACUUGUAUUCAUGGUACAAUGUGUAUUAUUUAGAGUUUGAUGCCACUACAAUGUGUUUUAUUUUCACUACUAGGAAAAGGGCUAUAGAUGAUAUGGCCACUAAUGGCGCACCAGACAUGUGGUGCGCCACUACUAUAUAGUAAUGGCGCACCAUGAGUUGGUGCGCCAUUAGUGUGGUAGACACUAAUGGCGCACCAGACCCACGGUGCGCCAUUAGUAACAUUUUUUUUCCAAAAAUACUAAUGGCGCACCAGGGAAGAGUACGCCAUUACUAGUUUAACUAGUAAUGGCGCACCUCCAACACAGUGCGCCACUACUUUUUUUUUGCAAAACUACUAAUGGCGCACCUCAAGCUGGUGCGCCAUUAGUAACCAGGGUUACUAAUGGCGCAUUUGUGGGUGGUGCGCCAUUAGUAACCUCGGACCAGCUAGAUAUUUUGGACAACCACACCUACACACUCACUUUCCCCACUUCAUUCUCUCCACCUCCUCCUCCAAGCUUGUGUCGGCUGCCUCCUCUCCUCACCUCAUUUGCACCAUAGAUUCAUCAAAAUUAAGUGGUUAAAUUACCUUUUUUUGAUAGGUAAGUAAGGGGAAAGCUAUGUUUAUGUUGUAGAUCUACUUUUUUUCUCCCUCGCUCCAACAACGUGCACAUGCACUUUUUAUUGCCUUGCUAGAUCUAUGUAUGUUUGUGGUGUUGCAUAUGUUUGUGGUGUUGCAUAUAUGUUUGUGUUUGCAGGUACCGGUAUUUGAAAUGCGAUAGUUGCCAAUAUUUUGCAGGAAUGUUGAUUCAUUUCCGUUUCGGCAAGAAUUUUGGCACUAUGCAUUCGUUUUGGUCCUAUUUUUAGGGAAAGUCAUGCCAAAUUUUUUCUUGGUUCUAAAAUAUUGUUUUGCUCUACCCCGCAGGUGACCAUGGUCCGCACGAUGACCGAAGGCAUCAUGAAUAGGUUUUUGAGCUCCGCGAAGGUUGAGAUGCUUCAAAAGAACGAGACAGAGAUAAGAUGUCCGUGUCUAAGAUGCAAGCUGAAGAGCCUUAUUGCGGACCCGGAUUCCGGGCAGGUGCGGGACCACCUGCUCUUGCGUGGUUUCAUGGAUGGCUAUCGGUGGCAAGGUGAUGAAGAUGACUAUGAAGUCGUCCAUGGGGGCCGGGCAAGAAAUGAGGAAGGGCAGCAAGACAACCACCACGACGAGGGCGGCCGAGAAGACGAAGAAUCUCCAGGACAUGAUCACGACGGUGAUGCUGUACACAGUCAUCAUGUAGAAGAUGCCGGACAUGAUGAUGAGGAAGAUCAAGACGAAUGGCAUGAUCAUGAAGAUGAAGAUGCUGGAGCAGACAACGAUAGAGGCUGGGUGCAGGACCCUCAUAUUCAAGAGUUGCUUCUCAAGCAGACGGAUAACGCAAGAGCUGCCGCCCGAGAGAAAGCCAAGCUGGAUCAACUGGAGAUAGACGCGGUUACUCCAUUGUAUGAAGGAUGCAAGCCCGAGGAUACCCGCCUGAAAGUAACGCUCAUGGCUCUGGAGAUGAAGGUAAAACACAAAAUGACCGACGCAUGCUUCGACGAGAACAUGUCAUUCUGGCAUGAACGUUUUCCCAAGAGGAACAAGUGCCCGACCAGUUUCGAGGAGGCGAAGAAAAUCGUGUGUCCUCUGGAUUUACUGCACGUGAAAUACCAUGUGUGCAUGAACAAUUUCAUCAUUUAUCGGGACGAGCACGCGGAGUCUACCAUAUGUUCGGUGUGCGUCGUCACUCGAUACAAGAAGAGGAAGAAAGCUCCUCGAAAAGUGGUGUGGUACUUUCCGAUCACUCCUCGUCUGCAGCAGUAUUUCGCGGACCCUAAGGUAGCAAAGCUCCUGCGUUGGCACGCGGAUAGGGAGGAGAAGAAGCGAGAAGAUGACGGGAAUGAUCCGAAGAUAAAUAAAAAAGAAAAGAUGCUGAGUCACCCUAAGGAUGCGAGCCAGUGGCUAGCGUUGAAUUUCGAAGACCCAGAAUUUGGAAACGAUCCAAGGAACAUCAUGCUGGGCGCGAGCACUGAUGGAGUCAAUCCGUUUGGCAGCCAGAGAAGUACACAUAGCACCUGGCCUGUGUUUGUGUGGAUGUACAACCUCCCCCCUGGUUGUGCAUGAAGAGGAAGUACAUUCACAUGAGUAUGCUAAUUGAAGGGCCGAAACAACCAGGGAACGACAUCAAUCUGUAUCUGGAGCUGCUGAAAGAGGAGCUAGACACGCUGUGGAAAAUGCCAGCCAAUACGUGGGACGCCGCAGAGAAAGAAUAUUUCCCUAUGAGAGCCGCACUGCUCACGACGGUGCACGACUAUCUCGGUUACGGAUAUCUCGCGGGGCAGGUGGUCCACGGAUUUUCUGGAUGCGUCAGGUGCAUGGAUGACACAACGUAUCGCCAGCUAGAUAGUGAUCCCGGGUCUUCGAAAACCGUGUUCAUGAGACAUCGAAGGUGGCUUCGCGACGAUGACCCAUGGAGAAAACGCAAGGAUCUGUUCGAUGGUGAAACCGAACCCGAAGACGCUCGCGUACGAGGAGCGGCGAGGAAAUAGACGAGCUAUUGAAAAAUUGGAAAGAUUGCCUGUCGGUGUCAAAACUGGCGGAUCUCGGGUAGGGGGUCCCGAACUGUGCGUCUAGGCGGAUGGUAACAGGAGACGAGGGACACAAUGUUUUACCCAGGUUCGGGCCCUCUUGAUGGAGGUAAAACCCUACGUCCUGCUUGAUUAAUAUUGAUGAUAUGGGUAGUACAAGAGUAGAUCUACCACGAGAUCAAGGAGGCUAAACCCUAGAAGCUAGCCUAUGGUAUGAUUGUUGUAUGUUGAGAUUCUUGUCCUACAGACUAAAACCCUCCAGUUUAUAUAGACACCGGAGAGGGUUAGGGUUACACAAAGUCAGUUACAAACUUACAAUGGUAGGAGAUCUGAAUAUCCGCAUCGCCAAGCUUGCCUUCCACGCCAAGGAAAGUCCCAUCCGGACACGGGACGAAGUCUUCAAUCUUGUAUCUUCAUAGUCCAGGAGUCCGGCUGAAGGUAUAGUCCGGCCAUCCGGACACCCCCUAAUCCAGGACUCCCCAGUAGCCCCUGAACCAGGCUUCAAUGAUGACGAGUCCGGCGCGCAGAUUGUCUUUGGCAUUGCAAGGCGGGUUCCUCCUCCAAAUUCUUCAUAAAAGUUUGUAAACACUAAGAGUAGUGUCCGGCUCUACAAAAUAAGUUUCCACAUAUUGCCAUAGAGAUAAUAAAAUUAACACAAAUCUAAUCUGCUGACGUAUUCCGUAGCGUGACAUCAUACUACGGCCAAGCCUUUAUUCGAAUCGUUUUCACUUCUCCACCUCAGCGCGUUUUGCGAGGCGGUUUCCUUGGCACGUCUUGUCAAAGCAGAGAUCGUGUCCCCUUUAUUUACGGGAUUCUCAUCAAUAUGGACGUGGGUAACCCAAUCGUGCCCGUUUAGCAUGUUUUGUCGAUUAAAGGCGAGUCCCAAACGGUCACGGGGAGGGCUCUUGGUAUUCAACCUCUUAUAAAGAGACCAAGGCCUUACUCCUUUUUUCCAAUCUCAAACGAGUUCGCCCGUCGCCUCGAGUUCCAACACCCUAGGCCCCAGAUUCCAGGCGCUUUGGACCUUCGACAAUGUACGGUUAUGACCUUCAAGGCCGAUGGAGUGCCCUCCUCCGUCACGGAGGAGGACGUGCUAAAGUUGAGAGAGGCUAAGUUCUUGACCAGCGAAAUUCCGCAUAGGUUGCCUGCUCAAGGGCAGGCGGUUCCCAGUCCCCAGCCCGGUGAGAGCGUGGUGUUCAUAUCUCACUUCCUUCAGGGGUUAGGCUUCCCAAUGGACCCCUUUGUGAGGGGGCUACUGUUCUAUUAUGGGCUGGAAUUUCACGACUUAGCUCCGGAGUCCAUCCUCCAUAUUUCCUCAUUCAUCGUCGUGUGUGAAGCAUUCCUCCGUGUUACCCCUCACUUCAGAUUAUGGCUCAAGACCUUUAAAGUGGAGCCGAAGAUGAUCGAGGGACGGCACGCAGAGUGCGGAGGUGCUGUUAUAAGUAAGAUUGCUGAUGCUCCAUGGCCCGAGGGCUCUUUUCAAGAGGAGCUCGGCUUAUGGCAACAGGAGUGGUUCUAUAUCGCCGCUCCCAGGGGCACCAAAUGGGUAGCGCCGCCUGCCUUUCGCUCAGGUCCCCCACAACAUCUAGGGUCAUGGGUCAAUAAAGGCCUAGACUGGGGGCCAUCCCAGGACGUGCCUUUGUUGCAGGGCCGCAUCAGGGAUCUCUUGGAAAGAGACCUCAGCCUGGUCAAAGUGACGCAAGUCAUGCUGAUCUGCCGAACCCUGCCCGGCUGAAAGUGCAACUAUCCCUAGGUGGUUUUGGUAAUUCAUAACAACAUAUAGCUCAUUGAGCUAAUGCUAUUCCAAGAUGAUUAUUUCAGAAAAGCUCAAUGAUUGGCAUGGCAUGGAUGGUGAAAGUGGAACCCUCAAAAUGCUAAGGAUAAAGGAUUGGCUCAAGACUCCUCAUUUUACAUUUUAGUGAUCCAAGAUCACAUUGAGUCCAUAGGAAAAGCCAAUACUAUCAAGGAGGGAUGAGGUGUUGCUUAAUGAGCUUUUUGCUUCAUGUGCUUAAUGAUAUGCUCCAAAAUCCUCAGCUACUUUCCCAUAUCCACAAAUGACCUAAACCCUAAGCCAAACUCGGACCUACCGAUUCUUUCUGUCCGGCGCCACCGAGUUUCACUUGUCAUAGCCACUGCCAAACCCUAAGCAAAUCGGUUCUACCGAUAGGGAUCUCGGUAUCACCGAGAUGGGAUUGCAAUUUCUUUGUUUCCCUUUCGUAACUUUUCGGUCUCACCGAAAGAGCGGAUCGGUCCCACCGAGAUUGCAAUGUAAACUCUCUGUUUCCCUUUUGUAACAUUUCGGUCUCACCGAAAGAGCAAAUCGGUCCCACUGAGUUUACCUGACCAACUCUCUGGUUAGCUAAUUACCAAAAUCGGUCUCACCGAGUUUGUGUAAUCGGUCUCACCGAGAUUACAUUAUGCCCUAACCCUAACCAUAUCGGUCCUACCGAGUUGCAUGUUAGUCCCACCGAAAAUCUCUAACGGUCACUAGGUUUACUAUUUUGGUCCGACCGAGCUUGUUGAUUCGGUCCCACCGAGAUUGGUAAAUUGUGUGUAACGGUUGGAUUUUGUGUGGAGGCUAUAUAUACCCCUCCACCUCCUCUUCAUUCGUGGGAGAGAGCCAUCAGAACACAUCUACACUUCCAACUCAUAUGUUCUGAGAGAGAAUCACCUACUCAUGUGUUGAGACCAAGAUAUUCCAUUCCUACCAUAUGAAUCUUCAUCUCUAGCCUUCCCCAAGUUGCUUUCCACUCAAAUCUUCUUUCCACCAAAUCCAAAUCCUGUGAGAGAGAGUUGAGUGUUGGGGAGACUAUCAUUUGAAGCACAAGAGCAAGGAGUUCAUCAUCAACACACCAUUUUUUACUUCUUGGAGAGUGGUGUCUCCUAGAUUGGCUAGGUGUCACUUGGGAGCCUCCGACAAGAUUGUGGAGUUGAACCAAGGAGUUUGUAAGGGCAAGGAGAUCGCCUACUUCGUGAAGAUCUACCGCUAGUGAGGCAAGUCCUUCGUGGGCGAUGGCCAUGGUGGGAUAGACAAGGUUGCUUCUUCGUGGACCCUUCGUGGGUGGAGCCCUCCGUGGACUCGCGCAAUCGUUACCCUUCGUGGGUUGAAGUCUCCAUCAACGUGGAUGUAGGAUAGCACCACCUAUCUGAACCACGGGAAAAACAUCCGUGUCUCCAAUUGCGUUUGAAUUCUCCAAACCCUUCCCUUUACAUUCUUGCAAGUUGUAUGCUUUACUUUCCGCUGCCUGUAUACUCUUUGCAUGCUUGCUUGAAUUGUGUGAUGAUUUCUUGACUUGUCCUAAAGUGGCUAAAAUCUUCCAAGAACUAAAAUUGGGAAAAGGUUAAGUUUUUAUUUGGUCAAGUAGUCUAAUUAAUCACCCCCCCUUUAGACAUACUUCCGAUCCUACAAGUGGUAUCAGAGCUUUGGUCUCCAUUUGCUUUGAUUUCCAUAGCUUUUGGUGGUCAUAGCCUUGGUUUCACAACCUAGGAGAGUAUGGCGUCUAGCGAGGGAAAUUAUCACCGUAGAGGUCCUUACUUUGAUGGUACUAAUUUUGCUAGUUGGAAGCAUAAAAUGAAAAUGCAUAUUCUUGGACAUAACCCCGCCAUUUGGGCUAUUGUGUGUGUUGGUUUGUAAGGUGACUUCUUCGAUGGAAAAGAACCAAACCGUGAAGCUACCGCGGAUGAGUUGAAGAUGCUGCAAUACAACGCUCAAGCUUGUGAUAUUCUCUUCAAUGGAUUGUGCCCCGAAGAAUUCAACAAAAUCAGCCGUCUUGAGAAUGCAAAGGAAAUUUGGGAUACUUUGAUUGAUAUGCACGAAGGUACCGACUCCGUCAAGGAAUCCAAAUUGGAUGUGCUUCAAAGUCAACUUGACAAGUUCAAAAUGAAGGAUGUUGAAGGCGUCGCUGAAAUGUACUCUAGGCUUGCUCUCAUCACAAACGAGAUUGCCGGCUUAGGGAGUGAAGAGAUGACCGACAGAUUCAUCAUCAAGAAGAUUCUAAGAGCCUUGGAUGGAAAAUAUGACACCGUGUGCGCAUUGAUCCAAAUGAUGCCAAAUUACAAAGAUCUCAAGCCAACGGAGGUCAUUGGAAGAAUUGUUGCUCAUGAGAUGUCACUCAAAGAUAAAGAGGAACUUCACAACAAAUCAAGUGGUGCCUACAAAGCCUCAUGUGAAGCCCCCACAUCAUCGAGUGAGAAACAAAACUUCAACGAAGAAUUGAGCUUAAUGGUGAAAAACUUCAACAAGUUCUAUAAGAGUAGAAGCAAAGAUAGAAGCUCCAAGUCAAGGUCCUACAAUGACAAAAGAUCUUCUAGUCGAGAGCGAAACUGCUACAAUUGUGGAAGACCCAGACACUAUUCCAAUGAGUGUACGGCUCCCUACAAAAGAAGAGAAGAUUCUCCAAAAAUAAGAAGAAAAAGAGAAGAAUCACCACCAAGAGAGAGAAGGAGUAGAGAUGAUCGUUAUGAACGAAGACACUCACGGAGAAGCAAGGAUUCGGAAAGAAAGGAAAAAUCAUCAAGGAGCUACACAAAACGAAGACAUCAAGCUCAUGUUGGUGAAUGGGUAUCCGGCUCCGACUCCGACAACCACUCCGAGAGAAGUUAUCACUCCGAUUCCGAAUAUACUCAAGAUGAAGAUGUUGCCGGUCUAGCACUUGUGUCAACCAACUCCUACGACAUAUUUGACUCACCAAAUGAAGGAAUUGGAAUAUGCUUCAUGGCCAAAGGUCCUAAUGUAACACACCCCGAGUAUGUUGAUUUUAAUAGUGAUGAAGAUGACUUGUUAGGUGAUGAUGAUUUACUUGUUGACAACUCUAGUGAUGAAUACUAUGAUGAAACGUCAAUAAAUCAUGCUAAUCAAGAUAAAACGAAUGACAAUGAUAAGGAGAAAAUUGAGGCUCUAACUAAAGAACUAAACACUCUUAAGUUAUCUCAUGAAACUAUCUUCGAAGAUCAUCGAGAACUUUUAAGAGCUCAUGAGAAGUUACGCUUUGAAAAGCUCAAUCUUGAGCAAGAGCAUGAGUUUUUAAAGGCAAUCAAUGAUGAUCUCCGCAAGAAAAGUUCUUCUUACAUUGCCAAGCGUUUACUCUUAUCCACUUACAUGCCUCAAGUCAAGUCUAGUAACAUGAACAAGAAAGAUUCUUCCUCUAGUAGUAACAAUGAUCAUGUUAAAUACAGUAUUGUUGCUUCUAGUAGUUCUCUUGAUUCCACUAAUGAUUCUCUUAGCCAAGUUACACUUGAGCAAGAAAAUAGCUUAUUGAAGGGAAUUAUAGAGAAAGGAGUGUACAAAAGCCUUGCCGGGAGUAAGCAAUUCGAAGAAAUUGUACGCAAGCAAGGAAGGCACCGGAAGAAUCAAGGUGUUGGUUUUGAACGAAAGUUCAAUGCCAAUGGAGUUGAGUGGGAAGAAGAUCAAUACCCCAAGACAAAGUUUGUUCCUCAACAAGAGAAGUAUGAUCCUACUUCUUUCAAGGGGACACAAGCUCAAGAUGAUCUUCCACCACAAGACUACAAGCAAAAAGGCAAGGACAAGCUUCAAGAGGAAAUUGAUGCAUUUGAAGAAGCUCCUAAGACCUUAGUCAAGUGGAUUCCCAAGACUACUUCAAGUUCCACUUCAUCAAGUAUGACUACAAUUCCAAGGAUUCCCAUCAAGAUGGUGUGGAUCCAAAAGAAGAAGAACUAGAGAGUUCUUGAGGGUGACUCCGCCAACAUACUUCACUCUUAUCAUUUUGGCAAGAACAAGUGCAAUCAACUUCCACAUCUUGCACUAGUUCAAGGAGUCACAAACCCUCUUGUGGUAAGUCAAGGGACAAGGUAACCUAAAAGUUUUCAUGGACAUCAUCUUGUGUGUGCAUCACUCUAUGUCUAUGGAUAUCCUUGUUUGUUCCUUGUGGGACUAACCCAUGUAGGUAUUGAAAGUGCAAUUCACUCAAAAGGAUAGCUCCAAGUGAUCUACAUCAACAUUAAGCAUCCACAUCUUCAACAUCUACAUGAAGUCAUCAUCGACAAAACCCAAGGUUAGUUCAUCCCUCUUAGGGGGAAUAUCACAUCUAGGGGGAGCUUUACUCUAAGACUUGAGCUAAAGCAACUCUAAUGAUGUGAACACAACAAUGCUUUAUGUAAAAGUGGUAACCCCACUUGAGCUUAAACGAUGAGUAUGACCUAUGAUCAAGUGUUCUCAUUUCACUCCUAAGUCAAUAUACUCAUAUAUAGAUGACCUAGUCAUCGCCAAUUGCUUGAUAGAUGCUAGAAUUGGUUGUGCAUGCUUUGUCACAUAUUUAAAUUGCCAUUUUAUUGUGUGAGCAUGUUGGUUGCAUAUUUCACUCAUUCGAGGACAUCCACUUGUUGUUUUGAUUGAUUGGUUUUGUUUUCUCUUGCCUAGUGGAUGGACAAGAAUGCCUAAGAACCUCCUCUAGCUAUCUAUGCUUUUCUCGUCUCAAACUCUAUUCAUGCUACAUCACAAAAUUGAUCAAGUCAGAUUUGAACCACUCUGUGUGAGGAGCACUCGGAGUCCCCGAUUUGUCAUAGACUUAAACUUCCAAAACCUCUUUGUGAUUCUCGGUCUGACCGAUACCCUACUUUCGGUCCUACCGAGAUCAUUAAGUUGAUCUAUGUUUUUGAUCUCGGUGCAACCGAUUUGAACCAUUCGGUCACACCGAGUUGCAAUAACUGUAUAAAGUUUUGCAUCUCGGUGCCACCGAGUUGUUCCACUCGGUCACACCGACAGGGUCGGGCUAUAUAUAGACACGGGAAAAAAUUUGGAAAUUUCUCCGAACCCCUUCGCCCGCGCGAUAGCUCGCUCUGCCAACGUGGUCUCCGGAUCGUCUCCUCGCCGCCAGCCGCCUCCAGUCGCUGGUCUCCGUCGCCGUCAAUGGAAUUCAACCCCGCCGUUGCCGCCGUAGCGAGUCUCCGCCGAACUAGGGUAUGGACUCGAUCUUUGUGCUAUUCCCCAAUCUGAUUCCUAGCACAUUGUGAUCAUAUUGAUUCUAGCCACGUUUGAAACACUCCAAUCCAGUCAAAGCGAUUCGUAGAGUAGGUUUGAUUCGAAAAUUUUAGGGUUAGGUUUCCGCCGAAACCAUCUCGGACCCACCGAGUUGAAAAACUCGGUCCCACCGAUUUGGCUCAUGCCAUUGCACAAGUGAGACUCGGUCUGACCGGGAAUUACUAAUCGGUGUGACCGAUUUUGGAACUUUGUGAAACCCUAGCAGUCUCGGUGCCACCGAACUGUGACUCGGUCUGACCGAGUUCACUAGUUUAGGUUCCAAUACUGCUUCUGUAUCACCGAGUCUAAAAAUCGGUAGAUCUGAAAUGAUUUCUGUGGGAAACUAAAACUAAGAUUUUGAAUCAUUCUUUUGCAAAAAUCUCUGCAUUUUGUGAUGCUCAUCCACUCUACCUCAUCUAUAAAUUGUUCACAGGGUCAGCAGUCAGCUUGUUCAUCAUGUCAGAUCAGAGUGAUAGCCAGAACCUGUUAGAACAGCAAGUGCACAUGAGUGAGGGCACUAGUCCCUCCAGUUCUUCAGAUGAAGGAAGGAGGAGCACUCCCAGUAACUUGCCAAAAGCUGCCACCAGACAAAGGAAGAAAAGAACCUCAGAAUCAGAGGAUGAGGACUAUGUGGCAGAAGAGGAAGCUACUUCCAAGAGAGUUGUGCUCAAGAAGGAGUAUGGCUCAGCUGCAGCCAUCAAACCAGGAAUGCACAAAAAGGCACCUGCUAGGAGAGUUCCAACCUCCAAGCCUAGGAAGGCUGUUCCUGAAGAAACUAUAAAGUUCACCAUGGAAUCUGAAGAGGAAGAAAUUGGCCAGGACAAGAAAAAGAAGAGAGCCAGAACUACCACUGCCAGAGUUGUUGGCAAGCCUUCUAUGAGGAGAGACUCUUCUGAUGAUGAAGAAGAAGAGGUUGCUGCACCAACACCUAAGAUGCCAAAGCCGAUGGGUGAUGCUAUAAGAUCAGGGGCUACUGCAUCCAAGCCCAAGGAAGCACCCAAGGCUGCAUCAAAGGCCAAGACAGCUCCAAAGAGGAACACAAGGAGCAUACCAGCUGCUGAGAAGAACAAGGCCCCAGUGCCUGACAUUGCAGAAGAAGAGGAAGGACAAGUUCUCAGAAAGUUAAAGCCCAAGAUCCCAAACCACAAUGAUGCUCAUCCUGUGGCUGAGGACAUGAAGAUCAGAAGAGACUUAGGGCUGAGAAAGUGGAGAGCAGAAGAUCCAUAUGCUACCAGGAGGAGAACUGCUGUUGACUACAAGUUCCACACAAAGGAACAUCAGGACAUUUAUGAGACAGUCUUGUUGGAUAAGAAGCCCAUUGUUUGUGAUAUGAGAUGGGUUGACUGGGAGUACAUCAAGGACAAUGAAGAGAACUAUCCUGGAGUGCAAGACAGCUUCAAGGCAUGUGGAGUAGCUGACUUUGUGGGGCAGAAGCUCACAAAGUGGAAUGAAGAGCUGAUCAUGCAGUUCUACUCCACAACACACUUUUAUCCAGAUGGAAGGAUUGUGUGGAUGUCAGAAGGGACAAGGUAUCAAUCAACAGUUGCUGAGUGGGCACAGCUCAUCAAUGCCCCAGAGGAGCAUGAGGAUGACCUAGAUAUAUAUGCCAAGAAGAAGAUGGACCACAACUCUAUGUCCAACAUGUACAAGGAGAUCCCAAACAAGGCACUUGAUACUUUCAAGUUUGGAUCAGUACAUUAUCUUCUGUCAGGGUUGCCAACCAUCAAUUGGAUUCUGAGGCACACUCUGUUGCCCAAGUCAAGUGAUCACAAGAUGAUUAGAGGCCAUGCAAUCAACUUGCUUCAUAUCUUUGUUGUGCCACAAAAAUUCAAAGUCAUGAGCCUCAUGGUAGAAACAAUCAAGAGGACUGCAGCAGAUCAGAAGAGGAGCUGUGGUUAUGCCCCUCAGAUCCAAGAGCUGAUCAACUCCAAGAUGGGAACAGGCAUAUACCUUUUGGACAAGGAACAUUUUUCCAUCCAUCCAGAUUUUGAAGAUAAUCAAGUUGUGAUGAACAAGGAUGAACCAUCUUCAGCUCAUGCUCAAGCACAGAAGGAGAAGGCAAGGAAGGAGAAAGCUGCCAAGAUGCCAACUCAAGAGGAGGCAUCUGAGUAUUUCUUGAAAACCAAGCAAGAGCAGCUUAGUUACUUGAUUGCAUCCACACCCAGGAUUGAGAAAGGACUGGCCACCCUCACUCAAAAUUAGGAGAGCUUAGAGAGGAUCGUAGAACAAAAGUUCUAUGACAUGGAUGUCAAAGUAACAAAGAUCCAGUCUGCAGUGGAGCAACUUCAAGAUGACAUGCAGGAGAGGAAAGGGAAGACUACCACUGAUGCAUUUGCCAGAGUGCCAUGAGCUCAGAGGUCGACUGCAGUGCCAGUUCCUGACACCAGAGCCACCACCUCAGCUCCAGCCACAGCACCAGCCCAACCAGCUCCAGCAUCUACUUCAACUCCAGCUCCAACCACGUCUACAGAAGCCUUCGUCCUUGGAGUGAUCCAGACUCCACCACCACCAGAAGAUCAAGCCUGAGUGUCGAUCUAGCACUAUGCAUUUUCUAGGAACUUUUUGGUAACUUGUUGCCAAAGGGGGAGAAAAAUGUAUAGAUCAUAGGCUUCGAGAGAGAGUGUUGCUUUUAUUCUCUCUUGCUUUAUUUGGUGGUUUUUCAAACUUUGUUUGCUUUUGGUUGAGAUACUUUGAUAUGCUUAUGAGACAUUGAUGAUCAUGUGUUUGAUCAUAAGCUAUACUUAUGCAUGCUUGAUAUAUCUUAUCUAUCUUAUGUGAUCAUUCACUUUUCUUGGUGAUGAGUGCAUGUAUUUCAUUCUUAUCAUUUUGAGCGCUCCACCAAGAUGUAUGUGACAUGGAAGAGUAGCCCAUGAUUCUAACUCUUUGUGCAUUUGCAGUCCAAAGCAAAUUUUAAACAUGCACAAAUUUAGGGGGAGCUCUUACUUAUCACAUACUUCUCAAAGCGACGAUAUAUUUCACUCUUAUUAUCAUUUGUCGAAGCUUUGAUCUAUAUGUUGUCAUCAAUUACCAAAAAGGGGGAGAUUGAAAGUGCAACUAUCCCUAGGUGGUUUUGGUAAUUCAUAACAACAUAUAGCUCAUUGAGCUAAUGCUAUUCCAAGAUGAUUAUUUUAGGAAAGCUCAGUGAUUGGCAUGGCAUGGAUGGUGAAAGUGGAACCCUCAAAAUGCUAAGGACAAAGGAUUGGCUCAAGACUCCUCAUUUUACAUUUUAGUGAUCCAAGAUCACAUUGAGUCCAUAGGAAAAGCCAAUACUAUCAAGGAGGGAUGAGAUGUUGCUUAAUGAGCUUUUUGCUUCAUGUGCUUAAUGAUAUGCUCCAAAAUCCUCAGCUACUUUCCCAUAUCCACAAAUGACCUAAACCCUAAGCCAAACUCGGACCUACCGAUUAUUUCUAUCCGGCGCCACCGAGUUUCACUUGUCAUAGCCACUGCCAAACCCUAAGCAGACACUACAAGAAAUAUGUCAACUUAUGACCUUUUGUCAGUGACCCUCGAAGAAUUGGUCAUAAAUUUAUGAUCAUUUUAGACCAAUUGGUCAAAAGGUGUUCAGGGGGCUCCAAACCCUAAACCAUUGCGACCAUUUUGGUCAGAAAGGUCGUAAUUUCCUUACACGAAAUGGUCACAAAGCAAACAGUGCUAGUCCGCUGCCUUAUUUCUAGUUGUUAAUGACCAAUAUAGAUGGUCAUAGCCUUGUAGAUUGUGGUGGGUUGUGAUGACUAGGCGCCAUCUCAUCAGUUUUGCCUAUGUGUCAUGUCCAUGUGGCAGUUUUUGCCCUAGGUUGUGAAGCAACCUAUAUUUCUAUCAUUCCCAAAAUUCCCAAAAAAAUCUCAUAUAUUCUUUGGGGCAUAUCUUCAUCAAAUAUGUAAAAAUCCUUCCUUGCCUAGUUCAAAACUAAUUCAACAAUAUUCAUUUUCCUAUUCUGUUCACAACAACACUUUAUGAAGGAAGUGCUAUUUAUAUAUUCUUGAUUGCCCUCGAAAUUUUUGGGCACUCUUUCCUAUCCAAAUAAUUACCGCAUGACAAAAUUCAGCUCCAUUUCCCUAGCAAAUCUUCCUCGGCAAUUUUCCAAAGUUUUUGUCCACCUAGAAGCAUUGUGAAGGAAGUACCUUUUUUAUAUCUCUAAAUGACAUGAAAUUUAUACAGUUCCUUCAUAUGCCCAAAUUAUCACCCUCCUCCAAAUUGCAGCUCAGUCAAAUCAUCUAUGUGAGCCCAGGUUCAAUUUAUAUUUUAUGGUCAAAUUGGCACAUUGCAAAGCAAGUGUUAUAUAGACCCCUCCUAUUACCCUCAAACUCUUCGGGAACUCUUCCAUACCCAAAUCAUUGCCACAUGAUAAUAUUCAGAUCAAUUUUCCUAGUAAAUCUUUCUCAGGAAAUUUCCAAAGUUUCUACCUCGAGAGAAGCUUUGUGAAGUAAGUACUAGCUAGGCUUACCCAAAUGAUCUGAAAAUUUACUAGCGCAUGACCAUACCUAUGUAACUUACCUACACCAAUUUUUAGCUCAUUUCAUUCAUCCAAUCUCUCUCACUAGUUUUCCCAAGUUUUUGUCCAUAUAUGAGCAUUGUGAAGGAAGUACUACUUUGGCAUGUCAAAAUGAUAUCAAUUUUCUACAAUGCUUUCCUAUGCCCAAAUAACCAUCCUCCACCAAAUUUCAGCUCAAUCCAUUCAUUAUAUUGAGCCCAGCUUAAACAUUCAUAUUUUUGUCCAGUGUGGUACUUUGCAAAGCAAGUACCACCUAGGAUCCUCCUUUUGAGCUGAAAAUUUGUGAAUACAUUCUCCUUAGUAGAUGAUCAUCCUCGGCCAAAACUCACGCCCAUUGGCCAUGUGCAUUUCCCAUACCGCUAAUCAAACACUUGGCUGCUUAUUCAUGUUUGAGUAUCGAUCGGUCUCCUCGUGAGAAUCUUAUGUUGUAAUUUUCUUCCUAGCACCUACCUGGGGAGUGCCCAACCCACUAGACAUGCCUAUGCCGCCUAGAACACAUGGCAAUGCCAGGGUCACGCGGUGACCACACGGCGGGCAUGCGAGUUUACGCGCUCUAGAGUUGGGGCCCUCGGCCACAGCCCAAACCUCGACGUAUCGCCACCAAACCAUGUAUUUAUGAUUAAAUAGGUACUUAUGUACCUAGAAAUGAUUUUUGGAAAAAAUAAAUAGCAAACUAUGAGACAGCUGCAGUUCAAAUUUGACCCGCUUCCACCUGAAUCGACGGAAAUUUGUUUUUUUCACGAGAGGUGGAUCAAAACUUUUUACACCCAACAAUUUUGUCAAUUGUGAAUUAAAUAUGGCCUAGUAUUUUCAAAAAAUGAUUUGGUCCAAUUUUGCAACAAUUAUUUGGGAGGUCCUUCACAAAAAAACCUCCUUUUGGGCACUCGAAAAAUAGAAAAUGGUUUUUUCGUCCAAAGAAAAUAAAAACUUCCUUAGGCAACAUUGUUUACCAUUCCAAUAUGCACCAUUGUGCACAAUAUGAGAUCAUUUGAAUAAACUAUGCCAUGAAUGUGGCCAUAAGAUUGAUCAUUUGGCUUGAAAGCCAUUGAUCUCCACACGUGAUAGCUCGUUUCUGAGAACACUUUUUUAAAAUAAUUGUCGUAUUACAAGUUUGUUAUUUUUCCUAGGAACUUGGCCACAUAUAAUGACACAAUAUGAAGGUUUCCCAAUUUUUUGAAUUUUUUUGAAUUUUUUAUGCCCGUUUCAAAAUGCGGUCAAAACGGCGGGAAUGACCGUUCCUAGCUAGUGGUUGAAUCUUGGAAUUUUAUUAGUGUUUCUCUGAUUAAAUAGGUACUUAUGUACCUAGAAAUGAUUUUUGUAAAAAAUAAAUAGCAAACUAUGAUGCAGCUGCAGUUCAAAUUUGACCCGCUUCCACCUGAAUUGACGGAAAUUUGUCUUUUUCACCAGAGGAGGAUCAAAACUUUUUACACCCAACCAUUUUGUAAAUUGUGCAUUAAAUAUGGCCUAAUAUUUUAGAAAAAUUAUUUGGUCCAAUUUUGCAACAAUUAUUUGGGAGGUCCUUCACAAAAAACCCCUUUUGGGCACUCGAAAAAUUGAAAAUGGUUUUUCCGUCCAAGGAAAAUGAAAACUUCCUUAGGCAAUAUUGUUUGUCAUUCCAAUAUGCACCCUUGUGCACAAUAUGAGAUCAUUUGAACAAACUAUGCCAUGAGUGUGGCCAUAAGAUUGAUCAUUUGGCUUGAAAGCCAUUGAUCUCCACACAUGAUAGCUCGUUUCUGAGAACACUUUUUUAAAAUAAUUGCCGUAUUACAAGUUUGUUAUUUUUCGUAGGAACUUGGCCACAUAUAAUGAGACAAUGCGAAGGUUUCCCAAUUUUUUGAAUUUUUUUGAAUUUUUUAUGCCCGUUUCAAAAUGCGGUCAAAACGACGAGAAUGACCGUUCCUAGCUAAUGGUUGAAUCUUGGAAUUUUUUUGAUGUUUCUCUGAUUAAAUAGGUACUUAUGUACCUAUAAAUGAUUUUUGAAAAAAAUAAAUAGCAAACUAUGAUGCAGCUGCAGUUCAAAUUUGACCCGCUUCCUACUGAAUCGACGGAAAUUUAUCUUUUUCACGAGAGGAGGAUCAAAACUUUUUACACCCAACCAUUUCGUCAAUUGUGCAUUAAAUAUGGCCUAAUAUUUUAGAAAAAUGAUUUGGUCCAAUUUUGCAACAAUUAUUUGGGAGGUCCUUCACAAAAAACCCCUUUUGGGCACUCGAAAAAUUGAAAAUGGUUUUUCCGUCCAAGGAAAAUGAAAACUUCCUUAGGCAAUAUUGUUUGUCAUUCCAAUAUGCACCCUUGUGCAGAAUAUGAGAUCAUUUGAACAAACUAUUCCAUGAGUGUGGCCAUAAGAUUGAUCAUUUGGCUUGAAAGCCAUUGAUCUCCACACGUGAUAGCUCGUUUCUGAGAACACUUUUUUAAAACAAUUGCCGUAUUACAAGUUUGUUAUUUUCCGUAGGAACUUGUCCACAUAUAAUGACACAAUGCGAAGGUUUCCCAAUUUUUUGAUUUUUUGUGAAUUUUUUAUGCCCGUUUCAAAAUGCGGUCAAAACGACGAGAAUGACCGUUCCUAGCUAGUGGUUGAAUCUUGGAAUUUUUUUGGCGUUUCUCUGAUUAAAUAGAUACUUAUGUACCUAGAAAUGAGUUUUGGAAAAAAUAAAGAGCAAACUAUAAGGCAGCUACAGUUCAAAUUUGACCCGCUUCCACCUGAAUCGACGGAAAUUUGUCUUUUUCACCAGAGGAGGAUCAAAACUUUUUACACCCAACCAUUUGGUCAAUUGUGCAUUAAAUAUGGCCUAAUAUUUUAGAAAAAUGAUUUGGUCCAAUUUUGCAACAAUUAUUUGGUAGGUUCUUCACAAAAAAAACCCUUUUGGACACUCGAAAAAUUGAAAAUGGUUUUUCCGUCCAAGGAAAAUGAAAACUUCCUUAGGCAAUAUUGUUUGUCAUUCCAAUAUGCACCCUUGUGCACAAUAUGAGGUCAUUUGAACAAACUAUCCCAUGAGUGUGGCCAUAAGAUUGAUCAUUUGGCUUGAAAGCCAUUGAUCUCCACACGUGAUAGCUCGUUUCUGAGAACACUUUUUUAAAAUAAUUGCCGUAUUACAAGUUUGUUAUUUUUCCUAGGAACUUGGCCACAUAUAAUGACACAAUGCGAAGGUUUCCCAAUUUUUUGAUUUUUUUUGAAUUUUUUAUGUCCGUUUCAAAAUGCGGUCAAAACGGCGGGAAUGACCGUUCCUAGCUAGUGGUUGAAUCUUGGAUUUUUUUUGGUGUUUCUAUGAUUAAAUAGAUACUUAUUUACUUAGAAAUGAUUUUUGGAAAAAAUAAAUAGCAAACUAUGAGGCAGCUACAGUUCAAAUUUGACCCGUUUCCAGCUGAAUCGACGACAAUUUGUCUUUUUCACCAGAGGUGGAUCAAAACUUUUUUCACCCAACCAUUUUGUCAAUUGUGCAUUAUAUAUGUCCUAGUAUUUUAUAAAAUUGAUUUGGUCCAAUUUUGCAACAAUUAUUUGGUAGGUCCUUCACAAAAAAACCUCAUUUGGGGCACUCGAAAAAUGGAAAAUGAUUUUUUGUGCAAAGAAUAUAAAAAAGCCCUUUGUCGAUACUGUUUACUAUUCCAAGAUGUAAACUUUUGUAGAGUAUAAAGAACUCAUUUUGAACAAAUAUAAAGAAUAUAAAGAAUAUCAUGUGAACAAAUAUUUGGUAGGUCUUUUACAAAAAAGAACUCAUUUUGAGCACUAAAAAUGGAAAAUGAUUUUUUCGUGACCUAUUUAAAAGGUCAUAAAGUCUUCAAAUUGUUUGUUGCGUUCUGAUUGGUCUAUAGGCAUAUCACGCGGAUCAUGCAUCCGACACCGUCAGAUGCUCCGGGAUCCAACGGCAGACCUCAUCCCCUCACCCUCUCACCCACGUAGCCCUCUCACCCCCCUCACCCACGCAGCCCACACUCCCCACCGUUCCAACCCUAGCCCCCACGCCCCCACUCCCCCGCACCCGCACCUGCUCGGCAAACCCUAGCCGCCGCCGCCCCCGCACCAUGGUCGUCGACGGGGAGGAGCCCGAAUCCCCAUGCCUCCCAAGCGCCCGAAACUCUAGCCCGCGGCACAGCCAUGGCGACCGAGCUCUGGAUCCCAUCGACUCCCCCCCAUCGCACCCCUCCUCUGCUCGCAGCUGCCGCCACCUCCUUCCUCAAUCCAGUCCUCUCCCCAGCCUCCUUUCCCUGAUCCAGUUUUCUCCCCGCCGCUCCCACCCACCGCCGACCUCGCAGCCCUCCUCACCACCGCCGCCGACCUCUUCCCUCCCUCCCCUCACCAUCUUUCCCUACCCUAUGCCCUAGAUCGAGUCGAGCAGGUCGGCCGACGCGCUAGGGUUCCGUUUGGUCAGCUCCGCGCCGGCUCUCCGGUUGGCCGCCCGCCCGACGAUGGAUUUCCCGCCGCUCUCCCACCAGGCGCUCUUCACAGCCCUCCGAUCCGCGGACGCCGAGGCCGUGCGCCGCCUCCUGGCCGGCGCCGAGGAGUCCGCGCUCUACGUCCCGGCGGACGCCGAGGCCGUGCGCCUCCUCCUCCCGCUCUACGACCUCGAGGCCGCGAAGCUCCGCUCCCGCCUCAACCUCGAUGCCUUCCACGUCGCCGCCAAGCAAGGGCACACCGGUGAGCCCCUCUUCUCGCUCGAUUAGUAGCUUCCGCUGGGUUUUUUAGAACGAGCCAAGUCCAGUGUCUUGCAGCAAGUUUAAUCGAUUCUCAUUGGGCUCAAUUGCAGGGUUUGAUGCUCCGAGGAACAACAUGGAGUUCGCCAUGGAGGCGCCCCACAGCUACGGCGUCUUCCAAGAGGACGUCCCGGUGAGUAGUACAAUCCCCUUCCCUGUUAUUUCUCUCUAUCUGUCAGACUAAUUCACUGCAUCAUUUUCUUCCCUGGCCCGUGUAUGCAUGCGUCUGGUAAAUUAUUUUGUUUCCAGAAAAAGGACAUGUAAUUCCUUUUUUCUCCUUUCAUUCCAGUCACAUACUACUGUCCAAUUUUCAGUUAGGUGGGUAGAUCUUUCUUGACAUAUGAUAUGCAUUGUCCAUCCGUCCUUGGCAGCUCUGCUGCUAGGUGUACUCGAACCUGACUGUUGUUGCCUGAGAAGACAGCACGAAACACCUAUUAAUAAUGCUGUCAAACAAACAGUAGACCACCAUCUACUGCUGCUGGGCACAACCACGUUGCCCCUUAAUUACCUGGCCAUUCUCUGCAUCAUUGCUUACCAUCCUUUGCCUACCAAUAAGUAGGAGGCCAUGUUGAGUUCCUGGCAUUGUUCUUCAAACUAGAUUAGCACUGCUGCUUUCCUCCGCCCCUCUUCUCCCUCGACGGUGUUCUCAUCCACCACAGCAGCUUACUGACACGGUCAUUGGUUCUGUCUUUGUUUUGUUGGCAGCAGGGGAAGAAGGAGGAGGAGGAGUUCAGCACGGGGCCCCUCUCCAUUCUCAUGCUCAGCGUCAAGAACAACGCCCUAGUUGGUUUGGUUUGGUUAACUUCUUGCCUCUGUUGAUUGAGAUCUCAGCUUAGCGAGGGCAUAUUUUUUGUAGUAGUAGUCGACCUGCUUAGCAAGCUCAGCUCACCCCGCUCGUCGUCGACCUGCCCGAUGGUGGCUAUGGCGGGACCCGCGAGAUCGUCGUCUUCCUGACCGGGACCCUUGGUUAGUGACAUCAUAUGUUUUCCACGACAUUCAGACUUUUCUAUAGUUUAUUGAAACUGUUGUGGUCUGAAGAACAGUUUACUGAAAUUGUUCCAAGUCUGAAAAACAGUUGUCUGAAUCUGUUGAAAUCUGAAACUGUUAGUGUGAGGUGUCUGAAACUGUUCUAAUCUUGUAGAUAACCUGUGAAUAAAUUUACUUGUGUUGAAUAACCUGUGAACAAAUUUAGGACUUUGGAGUUGUCUAAAACUAUUGUAGUCUUGUAGAAAAGUAAAAGUAGUUGGAUGGAAAUAGAUUUCUCAGUCUGUGUAAUAGAUGGUCUGAAGCUAGUUCCAGAUUUCUUUCCAUGAUUCAGAUAAUUCAGUAAGUCCAUUUCAUAACAUCUGCUGCUAGUACAAAUUAUGGAAGCUAAAAAGCCAAAUCAAGUUCAGUCAUCUCAUUUCACCUUUGCAAAGAAGAUACUAAUUUUCUAAACUGUGAAUUUGAUGUUAACGUCUUAUAUGUGCGUCUUAUAUGUCCAUUUCAUAACAUGGUGCGUCUUAUAUGUGUGUUUGAUGUUAACGUCGCUUGUGGUUUUGCAGGGUUCUGAGGCUGCAGCCUGGGCACCAUCAGGGUAGGUUGUUUCCCUAUCUUGUUUCUUCAGUGCUCAAUAGUUGCUUGUGCGACUGCUACUAGUCUUUUAUGUAAUGCUAAACUAAAAUGGGUCUAGUUAUACUAAUCAUUCCAUGAAAGUUCAGUCUGAUUUGCUGGUACUCUAAUAGAAUCAUUGUUUGCUCAUGCUCAGAAUCAUUGUUUGCUCAUGCUCAGAAUCAUUGUUUUACAUAUGUUACUUGUGAUGUUCUGCUGGCUGAGAUGUGCAUGAUCUGGGUAAUGAAGAAAAUUGUUCGGAUUCCCACUGAUUUUCAUGAUUAUUACAACCAGAUACUUCUGACGGAUCAUGCCAUCUCUUGGACUACAUAUGUACUCCCUCCGUAAACUAAUAUAAGAGUGUUUAGAAUACUAAACUAGUGAUCUAAACACUCUUAUAUUAGUUUACAGAGGGAGUACUCCUUUAUUAUUGAGCAAAUACUUUCCUUUGAUUUUUUGCAAACCUCUUAGCAGUAAUUUUCGUAUCCUCUUUUUUGUGUUCUGCUGGCUGAUGAGAUGUGCAUUACCUGGGUGAUGAAGAAAAUCGAUGGGUCACGCCAUCUCCUGAAGUACAUUUGCACAUUUUUACUGCUUUAGACUGACUGUACAUGCAUUCCUUCAUUGGUUAUGAACCUUAUUGCUCAUUGGGUUCUGUUGGGUUGAACUGCAUGAUUCCGGGUGAUGAAGAAAAUCGUUCAGAUUCCCACUGAUAUUUCAUGAUUAGUGUAACCAGCUACUUCUGAUCCAUAGCUUGUACUGCAACUAAUGUGUCAUGCGUUUUGUGGCAGCAACAGCAGCUAGCAGGAGCAAUUCUCUUGCUGGUUUGCAUUGAAGAUAUUGUAUUCUGUUGCUAUAUCAUUGUUUAAUAAAACCACAACAUGAUGCUCACAUGAGAUAUCCACAUGUUUCUGUGCUAUUUUGCUACAAGCUGUGUGUUGAUUUGAUAACAGGAGUUUCCUUGUCCUGGUCCUAUACUGCAUUUUGACUCCUAUGUUUAUGUGCGCGUGUGUUUAAUUGAUGUUGUUUCAACUUUGAACUACUUCUGCAUAUACUGCAAUUGAGAUUUAAAUUUGUGGUUGUUCCUCUUUUACAGAUGCUCAAGUGUGAAGCCGGGAAGUGUGAAGCCGUCAAGUUCUACUUAGUGAAGAGUAGCAUAUUGUAGCAUAUAUGUGUUGUAAAGAUUGUAAUAGAUUUAUUUAGUGGUAUAUUUGAUGAUUCUUUUUGAUUAUUUAUAUGAUCUGAAAACUUGUGAAAUGGAAACUUGACCAAUGGGUCCACUUAUGAAAAUAAUCUGUCAAUUUUGUACAUUUCUGACAUGUGGGACCAAUUUGAGAGAUGAUCAUGACAAGUGGGACCCAUCUGACUAGUGGGGCCAGCUUGAAUAUAUAAUGGCUGAAAAUAGAAAAGCAAUAAAUAAUAAAAGGCCACGGGCCAACAAUAAAAAAGGCUACAACGUUGGGCUUGGCCCAUGAAGCCGACCAGAAUUAACAAGGAAAAAAAAAAUAAAAGGCCGAAUUGUUGGGCUAGGCCCAUGUAGAAAACUGAAUUGGACCGGGCUGAAUCUUGUGCCACAUCAGCUUGCCACGCUGGAUGCCUACGUGGCCUGGAGAGGUUGCUAGUGACCAAAACGCCACAGUGGACAUAUUUUGGUCAUAAAUGUUUGCGACCAUUCCAGAAGAAAGGUCGCUAUAGUCAGUUUACGACGCCCAGCUUUUGACCUUAUGUUUUUGGUCACAAAAAGGUCAUAAAUGGAAAUUUGUGACCAUUCAGUGACCAAUAGUGGUGGUCAUAAGUUGACAUAUUUCUUGUAGUGAAAUCGGUUCUACCGAUAGGGAUCUCGGUCUCACCGAGAUGGGAUUGCAAUUUCUCUGUUUCCCUUUCGUAACUUUUUGGUCUCACCGAAAGAGCGGAUCGGUCCCACCGAGAUUGCAAUGUAAACUCUCUGUUUCCCUUUUGUAACAUUUCGGUCUCACCGAAAGAGCAAAUCGGUCCCACCGAGUUUACCUGACCAACUCUCUGGUUAGCUAAUUACCAAAAUCGGUCUCACCGAGUUUGUGUAAUAGGUCUCACCGAGAUUACAUUAUGCCCUAACCCUAACCAUAUCGGUCCUACCGAGUUGCAUGUCAGUCCCACCGAAAAUCUCUAACUGUCACUAGGUUUACUAUUUCGGUCCGACCGAGCUUGUUGAUUCGGUCCCACCGAGAUUGGUAAAUUGUGUGUAACGAUUGGAUUUUGUGUGGAGGCUAUAUAUACCCCUCCACCUCCUCUUCACUCGUGGGAGAGAGCCAUCAGAACACAUCUACACUUCCAACUCAUAUGUUCUGAGAGAGAACCACGUACUCAUGUGUUGAGACCAAGAUAUUCCAUUCCUACCAUAUGAAUCUUGAUCUCUAGCCUUCCCCAAGUUGCUUUCCACUCAAAUCUUCUUUCCACCAAAUCCAAAUCCUGUGAGAGAGAGUUGAGUGUUGGGGAGACUAUCAUUUGAAGCACAAGAGCAAGGAGUUCAUCAUCAACACACCAUUUGUUACUUCUUGGAGAGUGGUGUCUCCUAGAUUGGCUAGGUGUCACUUGGGAGCCUCCGACAAGAUUGUGGAGUUGUACCAAGGAGUUUGUAAGGGCAAGGAGAUCGCCUACUUCGUGAAGAUCUACCGCUAGCGAGGCAAGUCCUUCGUGGGCGAUGGCCAUGGUGGGAUAGACAAGGUUGCUUCUUGGUGGACCCUUCGUGGGUGGAGCCCUCCGUGGACUCGCGCAACCGUUACCCUUCGUGGGUUGAAGUCUCCAUCAACGUGGAUGUAGGAUAGCACCACCUAUCUGAACCACGGGAAAAACAUCCGUGUCUCCAAUUGCGUUUGAAUUCUCCAAACCCUUCCCUUUACAUUCUUGCAAGUUGCAUGCUUUACUUUCCGCUGCCUAUAUACUCUUUGCAUGCUUGCUUGAAUUGUGUGAUGAUUGCUUGACUUGUCCUAAAGUAGCUAAAAUCUGCCAAGAACUAAGAUUGGGAAAAGGUUAUGUUUUUAUUUGGUCAAGUAAUCUAAUCACCCCCCUCUAGACAUACUUCCGAUCCUACACUAGCAAACAUCGCUCCCUUCGCCUGUGGGAGUUUAAUCCGGAGGGACCACGAGCUCUCCCGCAUUUUAUGGGCGCAACGCCCGCGGAGAUGUAUAAACUGUUCUUCGGAUCACAAUCAAUGUGUCCGGUUUUGACCGAGGACGCAGGCCUGAGCUGCAAUCGCCCGGAUACUCAAGUAAGCAGCCUUUUGCUCGGACUCGUUAUCCACAUAUUUGUCAUAAACUUGCCCCUAAAAGAGCUGUCCCUUUAAACAGGAGUGGAUAGCGAAAGCAAAGCUGAUAAGGUGUCCGGCUCCCCUCCCUGAGACCAGGACGGAUUCCGUCCUAGCCAGGAUGUUGAAGAUUGUGCCUUUGAAGGAAAGUGAGGGAGGGGACAAGGAAGCUACAGUCUCCUUGAAGGAGGCUGUUUGGAGGGAAGGAACCAAAAAUUCCUCUCCUCCGGGGAAGAAAAGGACUGCCUCUAAAAACCCGGAGGCUGCGGCCUCCAAGCGGGGAAAAAAAUCCUCGUCAGAGGGUCCUACGUCGGGGAAUACCUCGGCCGAACUAUGCCCUCAAGGGGUCCAGCCCUCCAGCGAGCCGUAAGUAGAGAAAGAUUAUAUUUUUUGAGAGAAAGAUCGUUGCUUUAAACCUGAGAAGAUUAAUCGAAAUUUUACCUUGUAGUUCGGACCUUAGCCCUUCUCAGCCGAGCUCGUCUUCGGGGGACCUUCUUCAGGAGAUGAUGGAGAGCGGGACGCCUCCCCUUGCUGUACCACCUAGCGAGGCGGGCGACCCUGAGGUGUUGUCGCGGAGGGUUUCUCCGAAUCUGGCAGGGGCGGAAGACUAUGAGGCCCCCCAAGGUUCUCCGCGUCCGGCCUUCGAAAGAGGCCGUAGGACAGGUCCGGCAUCGUCUGUUGUUCGACCGGAGGAGCUAAAUAAUCUGCUGGGGCGAGCUUCUAUCUUGGAGGAGCACCGUGCAUUGAUGGGCACGGUGAUUGAAAGGAUUUCAUCCGCAGAAAGCGGAUUGUACGAGGCCGUCAGAAGCUUACUGACGGGUUUUGAGGUACGUUAGAUAAUGUACACUUUUGUCAGUUGCGCAUAAAUAAGAUGCGCCCUAUGUAGAUAGUAGCCCCUGAGACUCUAUGCGUUGUCAGAAGUGACAGCGUGCAGAGGAUCAUAAUCCUAGGUCUAAAAUGUCGCCUUUAAAUGUAGGUGGCGAGGUGUCCGGAAUCGAGCCGAACUGAUGAUUUUGCCGAACUAAAGCGACAACUUGACGUGGCAGAUGCCGACAUCGCGCUUGUCAACAAACAACUUGAUGAGGCUCAAGGUAUGUAAUUCCUUGGGCGGCACCUGGUAAGAGGAGCUUUAUGCCGAUAUCUUACAAUGUCUGUGCUUGACGCAGAUGGUGCGGCCGCCGUGGAGAGUCUUCGGGCAGAACUUGCCCGAGCUAAGGAACAAGCCAGAGAAAGGGAUGCGGCUGCCGAGAAGGCCCUUGAAGAGUUGCGAGCCGAACAGGCUGCUCACUGCCGAAGCAAGACUGAGAUGGCCGAGAUGGCCAUGAAGUUAAAGAGCAUUGCUGACCGUUGCAAGCUUCUUGAAAAAGAAGACCGUGCGAGGCAGACGGACUUAGAGAAGGCCGUUGCUAAUGCCAAUGACGCUCGCUCUGCGAUGAGAGCUGUGAAGGAGGAGCUGCGUCAGGCCGGACAGAUUGGGGCUGGAAAGCCCUUUAUGCUGCGGAGGAAGUUUUGCGAUCCGAAGUUUGCUCCGUUGGACCGGAUGUGGAGUGUGGAGGACACCUAUCUGGAUUUGGCAGCGAGUGCUGCUGAUGCGACCGAACACUUUCGAGAUCAAGAAGAUCGCGAAGUGGAAAAAAAUUUCUGGUCGCAGUUCCACAAUCCAGAGCGUCCACUGGUGGUGGACGAUCGUCUGGCUCAAUGGGCUAAACUGAAUAGGUUGUCCGGACUCGCCAUGAAGUGUGUCAUGGGUCAUUUGUGGCCGGGGAGAUCGGAGCCGAAGAGUUAUUUCAGCUUGGUGCAGCAAUUCCUUGAUGCGGUGCCACGUAUCAAUGCAAUGAAGAGGUCAGCAUGCAUAGAGGGCACACGGAUGGCUCUUGCCCGUGUCAAGACAUACUGGGCGGAGAUGGAGACCACCGUUGUUGCAUCCCGAGAUUCGGACAAAAGCCGAGUACCCUCCGAGCACUAUUUUCAGGAAGUCCUUGAAGGCGCUCGUGUAAUAGAGACGCAGUGCUCGAAGGAUGCUAUGUUCUGAUAGCUUAUUUAAUUAUAAAGUAGUAUUUUGAUGAAUUGUAGUGGCCUUUUAUACUUGUGCCUUCAAGUAUGUUGAACACCUCUUAUGCGGCCGUUUUAAGAUAUAUAUAUAUAUAUAUAUAUAUAUAUAUAUAUAUAUAUAUAUAUAUAUAUAUAUAUAAUCUGAAAGAUGGCAGUCGUUGGUUUCAGCCCCCACGCACAUAGUGCGGGGGUGCUCGCAGAAGGCGCAUUUUCACACUUAAUCCAACGUCUAGUCCUACAAAGGAGAUGAUGGCGCAACGAGCUAGGCAACUGGACUAUAAUGCUUUAACACUUUCACUUAGCCAUGGGAGCUUGACAGUGGGACUCUUUAGAUAGCCCUUGGUGGCGACUGCGCUCGCCCGAAUUCGGGGCGCGUAUGUGCCUGGCCGGGAAACGGCCCUUCGUUAAUGCAGAGGAAUCCUAUAGAUUCCGGAGAGUCAUCGAGUGGUUGACCAGUCUCACGCUAUAUCAUGAGAGUCAAUUUUCGGCUUUCUCUACUAAGGUGCUCGCCUGGCCGAACCGGGGCACAAUCGCAGUAGUUCUCCUGGUGCCGCCUUAGCCGAUAGAGCGGAACGUAAGGCGGCUUAACACAGGAGCCGGGCAACCCAACAUUUGACCAAAAUCAUGAUUCGGAGCUGAUGCAUAUAAGGCCAAACUCGCGACGCCGAACACUCCCUAAGGUAUUCGGUCUUUAUGAGAGCGGGCGGAGUAACGCUCUUAGGUAUAAGCCCCUAGUGUCCAGGUACGCGCAGGAAUUCUGACGUGGCCACAUGCCAAGACGCCAGCCUCCUCCUUGGUUAUAGAACCAGGGGAUGUGUAUCAACAAGAGACAGUAAAAAAGGUUUACGCAUGGUCUUAAUCUGAAAAGAAUCCUUGGAACGGGUCCCUACUGCACGUCUGCGCCUGUGUCUCCGUUGUGCCAUAUCCUGGACGGGCGCAACAUGAUGUUCAUCUGUAAAAGAGAGGAACUAAGUUGAAAAAAGGGCGUGCCGAUCAAAAGUUAUAUUAAAUAAAAAAAGUAUAAAGUAAAAUAUGUAAAAUUGAGCUUUAUUGUCUCUUAUUUUAUAUGUGCGGAGCCCCUAGGGCAGGGGUAUAUGGCCACUGAGCAUUUAUCAAUGAUACUUUUGUGCCGGAUUCGUCUAUCCGUGUCUGUGGUCUUAAUGACCUGUUCGGAUGUUCUGGCAGGUGAAGCCAUUGUAUUGUGGGGCUGUUAAAGCGGCCGCAUAAUCCUCCGCUCGGGGGAGGCGUACUCAAUGCUUCCCCUUCAAGGAUAUGAUGCCUCAUGGACCGGGCAUCUUAAGCGUAAGAGAUGCAUAAUGCAGUAUUGCGUUAAAGCGGGCGAAAGCUUCGCGUCCCAGCGAUGCUUGAUAGCGACUUGAGAAUGGGACGAUGUGGAAAGUCAGCUUUUCGCGGCGGAAGUUAUCGGUAGAGUCGAAUAUUACUUCGAGCCGGAGAAAACCCAUGCAAUGGGUGUCCGGACCAGGCAAUACCCCUUGAAAGGAGGUUUUGCUGUGGCGAAUUCUUGUUGGGUCUAUCCCCAUGUGACGGAUUGUGUCCUUAUAUAUCAGGUUUAGUCCACUGCCGCUGUCCAUGAGGACAUUUGAAAACUGGAUUCCGCCAAUUAUUGGAUCGAGUACCAAGGUAGUCCAGCCUGCGUUCCUGAUACUUCUAGAAUAAUCCAGAUGAUCGAAGAUGAUUGGUUUUGACAACCAGUGGCGGGACCCCUUUGGGAUAGGUCGUGGGGCGUGUACCUUUAUGGGCGCCGCACGUUUUGUUAUGUGAAGUAAGUUUACUGUUUUUACUUCUUGUGGGAAAUUCUUUUGUUUCCUGGUGCUCUGCUUUUGGGGUUCGUCCUCGUCUUCGUUUGGUGUGUCGAGCCCCUUGUAUUCGGCGUUGAGUCUGCCGGAUUGUUUGAAAACCCAACAAUCUCUGUGGGUAUGGUUAGCAGGCUUUCCGGGAGUACUGUGUAUUUGACAUAUCCUGUCCAGGAUUUUGUUUAGGUUGGAUAAAUCAUCUCUGUUAUCCUGGAGGGGCGGCUUUUUCUGAUUUUGCCGUGAGCUUUUGAAUCUGGCGUUGACUGCCGUACUCUUCGGAUUGUUUUCCUUAGUCCGGCGACGAUCCUUGUUGCGUCGCGGUUUUCCGUUUCCAUCCCUAGUUUCAGAUGUACUUGGGUCGCUGGUGCUACAUCUUGCCAACCAGCUGUCCUCUCCUGCGCAAAAGCGGGUCAUGAGGCUUGUUAAUGCGGCCAUUGUUCUUGGCUUUUCUUGGCCGAGGUGUCUGGCGAGCCACUCGUCUCGGACAUUGUGCCUGAAAGCUGCUAGGGCUUCGCUGUCCGGACAGUCGACUAUCUGAUUCUUCUUAGUAAGAAAUCUAUUCCAGAACUGCCAAGCUGACUCUUCGGGCUGUUGUGUGAUGUGACUGAGAUCGUCUGCAUCCGGAGGGCGGACAUAAGUCCCUUGAAAAUUUGCUCGGAAAGCGUCCUCGAGCUCCUCCCAACUUCCAAUUAUGUUUUCAGGAAGGCUUUUAAGCCAAUGCCAGGCUGGUCCUUUAAGCUUGAGGGGUAAAUAUUUGAUGGCGUGGAGGUCAUCUCCUCUAGCCAUAUGUAUGUGGAGGAUGUAAUCCUCGAUCCAGACUCCAGGGUCUGUUGUUCCAUCAUAUGCCUCUAUGUUUACGGGUUUGAAUCCCACUGGAAAUUCAUAAUCCAGGACCUCAUCGAUGAAACAUAGGGGGUGUGCGGCGCCCCUGUACUUGGGUGUGCCGGAUUCUGAUAAUGGCUUUAUUGCAUUGCUUAUGAGAGCUUGCUUUAUUGGCCCGUAAAUGGACCUGGCUGGGCCAUCUUUUUGAUGCGAAUCCGUAAGUGGGUCGCGUGCCGGCUUAAGUGCGGCGCCGCUUGCCGCUUUAUGUUGGCCAUGGGGUCGUCUAUCCGACCAUGUGGCUUUCUUACUUUUUGAGUGUGAGGGCUCUAAGGCCUCUUCGUCGAAUUCAGGCAGUAGUUUUCGCUUCAGAUAGCUUUUAGCGCGGCGGUUGUCGUCGUAUUUGUCUGCGGUAUUGAUUACUUUACUCCAUCUGAUCCUGAGUGCAUCUUCCGCAGUUUUUAGCUUCCGCUUCUGCUUUUUCAGGCUGCAGCCUCUUGUGGAGGUUCUUCUCCGUGGGCUUAUCCGGCGUAAGGUCGUCCGAAAUGCCAUUUUCGCCGGGGGAGGGAUGUUCGGUUUCUUUAUCCGGGCUGCCCUGUUCGGACGUUUGCUCUAAGGCAUGCUCGUCGUCUGCCGGCUCAUCCUGUUCUAUGGCUGGGUCUGUAUCGAGGCGGGGCUUGGGUCGGCGUUUACGCCGACGCUUUGAUUGUUUUUCGAGGGAUUGAUCCUUCGUUCCAUCCCCGUGUUCCUUGUUGUCGCUACCUUUAGGGGUAUCCACCAUGUACACAUCAUGAGAUGAGGUGGCUGUCCAAUGCCCUAUAGGCGUUGGUUCAUCUGUGUCUCCUGCAUCGUCGUCCAUGUCGUCGAUGUCUUCGGAGUCGAAGUUGAGCACGUCGUUUAAAUUAUCGACGGUGGCUACCAAAUGGGUGGUGGGUGGGUUUUGAAUUUCUUCAUCAUCCGUAUCCCAUCCUUGCUGACUGUAGUCCGGCCAGGGCUCUCCUGAUAGAGAGAGAGAGAGAGACUUUAGUGACUUCAGGAUGUCGCCGAAGGGCGAGUGCUGAAAGAUGUCCGCGGCGGUGAACUCCAUGAUCGGCGCCCAAUUGGAUUCGAUUGGCAGGUGCGCAGAGGGCUCGGAGUCCGGAGAAGAAUCCGGCUCCUCAGAGUCACGGGCCAUGCAGAGUGCGGGGCUGGUGUUCGGCUCGAUCACCUUUGAGAUCGCAGCUCUCGAGGUGGUGUCCAACCACUCAUCCUCGAUCGGCGCGACAGGCUCCGGAUUAAGGGUCGGAACCAAUGCGCGUGCUGCCUCCAGGACACUGUUCGGCGGCAGAGUUAGAUUAUGCCCAUCGAGACAGUGCGGCGCGCUUGGCUGUGGCUCGAAACCGUCAAAGAUCAAGUCCCCGCGGAUGUCAGCCGUGUAGUUUAAACUUCCAAAUCUGACCUGAUGGCCAGGGGCGUAGCUUUCGAUCUGCUCCAGAUGGCCAAGCGAAUUGGCCCGCAGUGUGAAGCCGCCGAAGACGAAGAUCUGUCCGGGGAGAAAAGUCUCACCCUGGACUGCAUCGUUGUUGAUGAUCAAAGGAGCCAUCGGGCCUAAAAGCGACGACACAGAGGAACUCUCAAUGAAAGCACCAAUGUCGGUGUCAAAACCGGCGGAUCUCGGGUAGGGGUCCCCGAACUGUGCGUCUAGGCGGAUGGUAACAGGAGACGAGGGACACAAUGUUUUACCCAGGUUCGGGCCCUCUUGAUGGAGGUAAAACCCUACGUCCUGCUUGAUUAAUAUUGAUGAUAUGGGUAGUACAAGAGUAGAUCUACCACGAGAUCAAGGAGGCUAAACCCUAGAAACUAGCCUAUGGUAUGUUUGUUGUAUGUUGAGAUUCUUGUCCUACAGACUAAAACCCUCCGGUUUAUAUAGACACCGGAGAGGGUUAGGGUUACACAAAGUCGGUUACAAUGGUAGGAGAUCUGAAUAUCUGCAUCGCCAAGCUUGCCUUCCACGCCAAGGAAAGUCCCAUCCGGACACGGGACGAAGUCUUCAAUCUUGUAUCUUCAUAGUCCAGGAGUCCGGCUGAAGGUAUAGUCCGGCCAUCCGGACACCCCCUAAUCCAGGACUCCCUCAUUGCCCACUGCCGGGAAAGAAGCAAAAGGCGCCAGAGCCGGGAAAGAAGCGAAAGGCGCCAGAGCCGCUGCUGAAGGUAUGGAAAACGAGGUCUGUUUUCUGGGACUAGCCGUACUGGAAGAUCCACCGUGUGCCUCACAGCCUUGAUGUCAUGCAUAUCAUGAAGAACAUGUGCGAGAGUCUGCUUGGUACCCUGCUCAACAUGCCAGAGAGGACCAAAGAUGGCCCGAAAGCAAGGGCAGACUUGAAAUCAAUGGGCAUCAGGGAGGAGCUUCACGCUAAUGAUGAUGAUGAUGAGGCAAAGCAGGACACAGAAAAGUCGUCGCAAAGGCAAAAAGGCCAAGAAGACGAGAAAUGACUACCCUCCCGCAUGCUUCACUCUAAGUCAAGAGGAGAUCGAGCAGUUUUUCACCUGCCUCAUAGGAGUAAAACUUCCUUACGAUUACACGGGGAAGAUAAGAAGAUACCUAGACCCAGCGAAGCAGAAGUUCAGCGGGAUGAAGUCUCACGACUGUCACGUGCUAAUGACGCAGAUACUUCCACUUGCAAUCCGUGGGAUCAUGGACACACACGUCCGUGAAACACUAUUUGGCCUAUGCAACUUUUUCGACGUCAUCUCUCAGAAGUCGGUUGGCGUGAGGCAACUCAAAAGGCUACAGGAAGAGAUCGUGGUGAUACUAUGCGAGCUUGAGAUGUACUUCCCGCCCGCAUUCUUCGAUGUUAUGGUGCAUCUGCUGGUCCAUCUCGUGGAGGAUAUCAUCCAACUCGGGCCGACGUUCCUGCACAGCAUGAUUCCGUUCGAAAGGAUGAAUGGUGUCAUCAAAGGAUACGUUCGCAACAUGUCACGUCCAGAGGGAAGCAUAGCCAGGGGCUUUCUGACCGAAGAGUGCAUCUCCUAUUGCACGAAUUAUCUAGGCAUCGAGAACCCCGUUGGUCUGCCCGUCAACAGGCACCUCGGCAGGCUCGCUGGAUGGGGUCACCGUGAGGGUCGCCGCGAAAUGCAUGUCGACUUCGAGGGUCGACUCGCCGACUUUGAAAGAGCAAACCUAGUCGCGGUACAACACAUAGACGUGGUCGAUCCUUGGGUGGUAGAGCACAAAACCUUUAUUGAGAAGAUGUACAAUGACCGAGGCCAACAGAGGACGGACGGAGAUAUAAUCAAAGAGCACAACUCAUGUUUCACGCGUUGGUUCAAGCAGAAGCUUCUGUCGUACCCUUUACAUGAGGAUUCUUCCGCGGAAGAACAACUCAUAUUCACCUUGUCACAGGGCGCCGAGCACAACCUGAUGACCUAUGAGGCGUACGAUAUCAACGGCUACACAUUCUACACCGAGGACAAGGACAUGAAGAGCGAUGGUUAUCAGAACUCCGGGGUAACGAAGGAAUCCUACACCGAUAACGACAAGGACAGAUACUACGGAAGGAUCGAGGAGAUCUGGGAGCUGAGCUACGCUGGAGAGAAGGUCCCGAUGUUCCGUGUCAGAUGGGCCAAGAACGUCCUAAAAGAAGACCGGUAUUUCACCACCAUGGUUAUACCCGAAGCCAAAUCCAAGACCGCGAGCGCAAACGUCAUCGCGAAAAAUUAGCCAUGGGUACUGGCUUCCCAAGUGGACCAAUGCUUCUUCAUUACCGACCCGUCAAAGCCCAGUCGUGUUGUCGUGAGGAGAGGCAAAAGGAAGAUCAUCGGAAUGGAUGGAGUCGCCAAUGAGCAAGACUUCGACAAGUACGAUGACCCGAAGAUGGAACAUGACGACGACGAUGAAGUAGCAGCAUACACCACAAGAAGAAGUAGGACCACCCUACCUAAAGGACGUCCGUUCCACAGAAGAACUCCAUUUGCGAAAAAGAAGGGCAAGAAGAUUGUGAACAAAUAGCUAGCUAAGAUCGACUGUAUUUAAAUCGUAGUCUUCAUUUCUCGAUUGUAUUUCAUGGGCACCUUUUGAUAUCAUGAAUAUUUUUAAAUUUCAUGGGCACUUUUUGAAUUCAUGAAUAUUUUUUAAAAUUUGAUGAUAUUUUUUCAUAUUCAAUAUGAGAAAAUAUUGAAUAUUCAUGAGGACACUCGAUCUCGAUCCUCCGCACCCUCCCCUGCUCCACCGCCGCCACCGACCCACCGCACCCUCCCCCGCUCUACCGCCGCCGCCGACCCCCCGCACCCUCCCCGGCCCGCUCCACCGCCGCCGAGCACCCCCGCACCCUCCCCUGCUAGCUCCACUCACUACUAGGGAAAAUCUUAUACACAGAAUCUUAGCAGCAGCGCGGUCUAAAAACAGGCGCUACUGCUAAUUAGCAGUAGCGAGCUUCUGAAAAGAGCGCUACUAAUGACUAAGUAGAAGUAGCGCUCUAGGUGAAAAGAGGGAUACUACUAUAAUUGCCACGGUGUUGCCUCCAGGCUAGAUAUAGUAGUAGUGCCCUUCCCGUGGAUGCGCUACUGCUAAAGAACUUAGUAGCAGCGAUUUUCUUCAAAACUCGCUGUUGCUAAGUAUCACCGCAACUAAUUAAGUUUAGUCCCAUACUGCUAAGCAAACAAGGUGUUUACCACCUUAAAUAUGUUACUUCUCAACCUAUCUCGCGCACUUGGUCUUCAUUGAACUAUAUGUGUAUGAUUUGUGGUUGCAAUAUGAAUCCUCGCCUGUACCUAUACAGGUACAGUGAAGAUUCAUGUUGACUAUUUAGAUUAUACACAAAAAGAUCAAUGAUGACCAAUGUAUAUUUAUGAUGUUUUUACAUUGCUUAGACUUAUAGCGUUUUUUCAGGACAAAGCGUUACUGAUAUUGGGAUAAACAAAAGAAAUAACUGCUUCCAUUAGCAGUAGCGGUUUUCUCUAAAACGCGCUAUAGAUAAGUUAGCUAUAGCGCGUUUCGAUAUGAGCGCUACUGCUAGUUUGAGUUAACCACCCCCCGAAUCAAAAUUUCGCUAAGUCCUCCUUUCCCCCCCACCCCGGCCGGUUCCCCUACUCCUGUCGCCGCCGCCCGAGCCCGAGCGCGCCUGCCCUCACCGCCGCGGCCGCCGCUCGCCCUCAACCUCACCACCGCCGCUCUUGACCACACUAUCACCGCCCUCGACCUCACCGCCCUCGACUGAGCCCACCGCCCUCGACCGAGCCCGCCGCCCAGGACCGCUGCCUCCNNNNNNNNNNNNNNNNNNNNNNNNNNNNNNNNNNNNNNNNNNNNNNNNNNNNNNNNNNNNNNNNNNNNNNNNNNNNNNNNNNNNNNNNNNNNNNNNNNNNNNNNNNNNNNNNNNNNNNNNNNNNNNNNNNNNNNNNNNNNNNNNNNNNNNNNNNNNNNNNNNNNNNNNNNNNNNNNNNNNNNNNNNNNNNNNNNNNNNNNNNNNNNNNNNNNNNNNNNNNNNNNNNNNNNNNNNNNNNNNNNNNNNNNNNNNNNNNNNNNNNNNNNNNNNNNNNNCGCCAACGUCUCUCCCUAUGUAAGCCCCCACCCCUCCCCACCCCUUCUCUCUUUGCUUAGUUAGUAGAUGAUUUUAGGGUUCAUAGAUAACGAUUUUUAGAAGUAGUGAUGGUAAACUAGUUGUAUAAUUAGCAGUAGUAGAUGUUAAUUAGUAGUAGAUGUAGUAGUUAGAUGUUAAUUAGUAGUAGUAGAUGUGCUAGUAUAUUUCUAUUUAUAGUAAGUUUAUAUUUAGUAAGAACGAGUUGAAUUAAUAGAACUAGUUUAGUUUUAGUUGAACUAGUUAAGUUUUAGUUGAACUAAUAUAGUAAGUAAAUUAAUAACUAGUUGAACUACUUCAUUUUUAGAAAGAACUAGUUUUUUUCUUUUUAUACUAAGUUUAUAUUUAGUAAGAACUAGUUGAAUUAAUAGAACUAGUUGAACAUGCCAUAUUUGUUGUUAUUUUUUAGUUUAAGCAAUUAUUUCAUGUUUCGGUUACACCUCCGAGUGGCCUAUGUUUUGUCGGAGUGUUGAUUAAUUUCCGUUCCGGCAAAUUUCAGGCGCUCGAUAUGUCCUUUUUUAGCAAAGGUCAUGCCGGAUUUUUCCGUGAAUUCUGGCAUGACUUGUGCUAGAAUAUGUACAAGUUUAAUCUUUGAAUUAUGUACGUAGGAAAUGUCAUACUCGGGCGACGACAGUCUCCCAGGGGAGUGCAGCUGGUGCCACGAUGAUCGAGGUAUGUGCGACAGGUUCGUUGAGCUGAAGAUCGGCGCUUCAGCAUUAAGCUCAAAGAGACCUUCGAUGUUGAAACGGUACGCAACAACGACAAGUGUUUUUUCCAUAAUUAAGCAUGACUUCAACUAUUUCAGCGUCUAUUUUUCAUCUUUUACAAUUCGACUAGCUUAUCCCAUGCCAUGCAAGACGCUAUGUCUUAGAGAGGAUGGGUUUUGAAGACCAUGAAAAUUAUGAAACAAAGAAAAUACACCUAAGGACCCAUCAUGAUAUCGAUUUUGAAGUAAAUCUGUACAAUUCUCAGAGCGUAACCCAUUUUGGUUGCCAAAAUUGGGAAGUACUUUGCAAAAUGUAUGGUUUUUAUGAGGGUAUGAUUGUCACCAUGGAUCUUGGUAAUCCUGACAUCGAGCAAGACAAUAUGGACAUUUGGGUCCUUGUUGAUACGCUUCCGAUUCUACCGCAAUGUGAGUUUCUCAAACAUAGUUAUUAACUAAUUUAUAUUGUUUAUUUCAAAAUAGUUGACACCUUAUUUCCAUUGACAGCUUAUUUUGAAUCUUCAAAGAAUGUGCAGAAGAUGGUAGACAAAACCCACUACACUGAUGGCUCCGAAUUAACUUAUAAGGAGAAAAAUCAUCUAAUUGCUUAUUGUACUUUUCUUGAGAAUUACAAUACCUAUUAUUGAACUCCUCCAAAUUAUGGUGAAUACGUGCCACUAGUGCACGUGUUGAACCACGGUAACUUCUAUGGAGAUACCCUGGUAAGAUAUUUUACUAUUACAACAUCCGUGCAUCUUUUGCAUACUUCUAAAACUAGUACAUCAUUGCUAACUACAAAGUUAUUACUUUGUUUUUCAACAGGAAAUGCCGAUGGAUUGUGUGCCGCAUCUGAUGUAUCAGAAUGGUCGCCUUGCAGUUAUGAACAUACAGCCAGGUGAAUCUAAGGAGCUCACCUGUGCAUAUCGGAUUUCUAAAAGCGGUGAACACAUGCUAAUCAAAGAAUGGAAAAAUGUUUGGACAUUCACAAGGAGGUUCUUGGAAGUAACAUUAAGCGAAAGGCAAGAAUUGGAGACAAGAUAAUCUCCAUUCUCCAUAAUGGAGAGUCAGGGGCUAUCUUGUUUUUUGCUAUUUUACCUUAGAGAAUAUAGUAGGUCCUAAGAGAAUGUAGUAGGUCCUAUGAGGUACAAUAUGUUUAUUAUGUGAUACAAUGUGUUAGAGUUGAUGAUGUGAGGAGUACUUGUGAUUACGACUAGUGACCAAUUUGCUAUGUGAUGUCUCAUUGAUGAAAAUUAUGAUCUUGAGGAGGUGUUAUAUGACAAUGAUGUAUUAUGGUGAUAAGUUGUUAAUGAUAUGAUGAUGAUAUUUAUUAUAUCAUUGGGUGAAAGAACCGUGUGGACUAGUUUCAAGUGGAUGGACAUCCACUUGAAACUAGUCCACACGGUUCUUUCACCCCGUGAUGUAAUAACUCAUUAUGAUGUAAAAACAAUUUCUAAAUUCCUGUUGUAUGAAAACUUGUGUAAAGGUGUACGAAUACAACAUGAAAUAAAAAAGAAAUAAAAUACGAAAUAAUAGUAGCAGCGCGGGCAGGGAGAAGCGCUACUACUAAUUAUCAGUAGCGCCCUCCUGGAACUCGGUACUACUAAGUCGAUUUAGCAGCAGCGUGGGUGGAGGCACGCUACUACUAUUCGUUAGCUGUAGCGCCUUAUCAGUAGCGAAUAACCCCGCGCUACUGAUAGGUCUAAAACCCGCGCUGCUGCUAGGGUUUUCCCUAGUAGUGACCGCCGCCACCGACCCACCGCACCCUCCCCCGCUCCACCGCCGCCGCCGACCCCCCGCACCCUCCCCACCCCGCUCCACCUCCGCCAAGCACCCCCCGCACCCUCCCCGGCCCGCUCCACCGCCGCCGAGCACCGCUGCCGAGCACCCCCNNNNNNNNNNNNNNNNNNNNNNNNNNNNNNNNNNNNNNNNNNNNNNNNNNNNNNNNNNNNNNNNNNNNNNNNNNNNNNNNNNNNNNNNNNNNNNNNNNNNNNNNNNNNNNNNNNNNNNNNNNNNNNNNNNNNNNNNNNNNNNNNNNNNNNNNNNNNNNNNNNNNNNNNNNNNNNNNNNNNNNNNNNNNNNNNNNNNNNNNNNNNNNNNNNNNNNNNNNNNNNNNNNNNNNNNNNNNNNNNNNNNNNNNNNNNNNNNNNNNNNNNNNNNNNNNNNNNNNNNNNNNNNNNNNNNNNNNNNNNNNNNNNNNNNNNNNNNNNNNNNNNNNNNNNNNNNNNNNNNNNNNNNNNNNNAAAUUUGAUGAUAUUUUUUCAUAUUCAUAAAAAAAUUAUUACUGUUUUUAUAAAAAAAUUAUUACUGUUUUUAUAAAAAAAUUAUUACUGUUUUUAUAAAAAAUAUUAAAAAAUAGCAACAAAAAAUAAUAAAAAAAC